Molecule: long non-coding RNA, 52884 nt
Filed under: Arabidopsis lyrata
Lineage: Eukaryota; Viridiplantae; Streptophyta; Magnoliopsida; Brassicales; Brassicaceae
Description: long non-coding RNA (ALYR_LNC000780)
Source: RNAcentral
UUUUUUUUUUUUCUUUUUAAUAUUCAAAACAUUGCUCUACAUCAUACUUGCAUUAUGGAAAAUAAAAACUACUAAUAUUUUUUUUUUCAAAUCCACCCAAAUAACUAGGUGGAACCCAAGGAUUUCAAUCUCUCUAUUUAUAACUAAAACAGAUUUUCAAAUCCAUUCAAAUCCAAUAUGAAAUCAAAUCCAUACUCAAAUCUUCAAUAUUGAAUAAGGGGUGAUUUUAACUAGUAUUUGUAAAUCAUUGAACCAAUAACACAUGAUUUUUAUAAGAAUUUUAAAAUCAAUGAUUGAAUAACACAUAAUUUUACUUGGAUUUUCAAUUCCAUUCAAAUCAAUGAUCCAAUAAACCCCCCUAAAACUAUCAAAUCCUAAACCGAUCUGGUACAGCGAAGACCUAAACCUAAAGGAGGAUAUAAGAUAUAAAACCUAAAGGGUUUGGUUGGUUCCUUUCCCUCUCCCAAAAAAAACUCCGAUUAUGGCCGGAUCUCUAGGUCUUACGCCGGAGUCCUUGAAGGCUUCUGGCCGGAUCUCCGAGAAGCUCAGCCUUCCUAUCCUUCAGAGCCAAAUCAAGCGUGAACCAGAGGGUUACGAAACGGAGGUCCAUUUGAUUUACAAACAGUUCAGAGCCUCCGUCGAUCUCUUGCAGCAACAGGCGGCUCUCACUUUCUCCUCCGUCGGCCCCGGCCCUUCCGUUGCUAAGGAACUCGGCGACCGAGCCAUGUUUCUCGCUCAUGUCACUCCGUUUUAUCCGAACCAGCUCGCCGCUUUUCCAGCUCAAUUGACUGAUUUACUCCGUACCUCAUGCCUGGCAAUGCCGUCGGGGCUUCGGUAUCAAGUUGCGCAAUCUCUGAUUCUUCUUAUGUAUCGAAAGGUAUGUUUUUUUUUUUUGUUUUUUUAUUACGUGAUUGAUACGAAUUCUGAGAUGAUUGUAAUCGAAAGUAAUGUUUUUUUUAAUAUGUUUGCUUUGGUGUGUGUUAAAGAGUCUUGUCAUCGAGGAUUUGUUAGCUCUGUUUCUAGAUAUUCAGACUCUUGGUGAUAAAAACUUGCGAAAGCUUGCUUUCUCUCACAUUGUUCAAACCAUUCGUAAAAUGAGUAUCACUGAUCCAAGGCACAAAUCUCUUCAGAAGAUUGUUUUCUCUAUGUUGGAGGUAUUUCUUUUUUCUUUUCCCUUUUCAUGGGUUUUUUGUGUAACUGAUCAGUGUAUAAUCAAGUAGAUGAUUUUUAACUUCGGUUGUAGCAAGAAGAUGAAACCAAGGCUAAGAGAGCACUUGUUACCCUUUGUGAGCUUCACAAGAGAAAAGUCUGGUUUGGUGAUAAACAUGACAGAGUAGCAAUUGCCAUUUGUGAAGCCUGCUUUCAUACUUCACCUAGGUAUAUCUUCCUAACUGUGCAAUAUUUUGAUAUGAUUUGGUUGGUCGAAUUAACUUCUCUUUUUUUUUUUACAUGUUCAGGAUCAGGAUAUCUUCCCUUCGGUUUCUUCUUGACUACGACAACAUUAACGAUGAGGAUGAUAGUGAUGCUUCAAGCAGCGAUGACGAGGAUUCAAAGAAAGUAUCUCAGGUUGUGUUUAACAGAGAGGCUGUUUACAAGGUAAACAACAUAUUUAUACAUGAAUUUUGUUAGAGACUAUGACGAAAACGCUUACUACUGGUUGUGAAAAGAAUUUUCCACCUUCAAAUAGUUGUCACUAUCAUUUUUAUCAUUAUGAAUUAAGUAUAAUACUAGGUCCUGUUUCCGAUGUUUAGGCCAACAACAAAGGUACAUCUUCUAGCAAGAAGAAAAAGCAAGCAAAACUGCAACGCGCCAUGCGAAGUAUUAAACGAAAGCAGCGUGCGUCGUCUGAGAACACUACUUCAACUUAUUCACCUCUUAAUCAUCUAAAUGAUGCACAGGUUCAUUUCCUAGCUUUUUUGUAGUGUGUCAUUUCCUAGCUUUUUCUAUGUGGCUAUGUACUUGAAUGUUUUUCUUUUUUUACAGAACUUUGCAAAGAGGUUGCUUCGCCGUAUUAGGCCUAAGUUUGACAAGAGCAGUGGGAAAACUAAUGACAAGAGCAGUGGGGAAACUAAUGACAAGAGCAGUGGGGAAACUAAUGACAAGAGCAGUGGGGAAACUAAUGACAAGAGCAGUGGGGAAACUAAUGACAAGAGCAGUGGGGAAACUAAUGAACGGCCUGAGGUAAUUGUAUUUUAACUCGCUUCAUCCAUUCUAUAGAAACAUAUGAGCUAACUAGCCAUGUAUUCAAUAAAUUUUGCAGACCAGGUUGAUGAUUAUAAAAGUUAUUGCACGAACUAUUAGUCUUCACAAGUUGCUUUUAUUCAAAUUUUAUACUUAUCUUCAAGGCUAUGCUAAGGUAAGAUUUGCUAACUGCCCUUUUUACAAUUUCUUUGCUGAAAAUUUAUUGAAACAGGGAUGCUCUUAAAUGCAGGAUGGUGUAAAGGACAUUACACAAAUACUUGCAGCAGCAGUUCAGGCUUGCCAUGAUGGGGUAUACAAACAUCUUACACUUUAAAGCAUCAUCCCUUUUCUCAUUCUGCAAUCCUUCCAAUCAUUUUUAUAUCGGGCAGGUACCUUCGGAUGCCGUGGAGCCACUGUUCAAGAAAAUAGUGAAUGAGUUUUUACACGAUCGCUCAAAUCCGGAGGUGUGAUUUCAAACACCAAGGGAGGGACUUAACUAGAAAGCUUAUUCUAUCAUUUAUAUUUUUCCUUUUUAAUUCAUUGUUUUCAUAUAUGUAACCAGGCUAUUCCUGUCGCACUCAAUGUGGUACGAGAAAUGUGCCUUAGGAUUCCCGAGGUAACUAGUUCUUAACUCUGGUUUAAUAUUCUCAUAUAAAUGUAGUUUUACAGCACCAAUCCUUUUUUCUUUUUUUUUUCUUUUUCUGAGUUGUCUUUUUGCUUCUUCUAUUUUUUUUUUGUCUGCUAUACUUCAGUUGAUGACAGAAGACUUGCUGCAUGAUCUUGCUCAGUAUAAAACGGAUAAAAAGUACCGUACCCAUAGAAAAGCCAUCUCAGCAGCAUCUGCUUCCCUCAUAGCAUUGUUCAGAGAGGUAGCAGAAGUAUUUGAUUUGUUAAUUGGAACAAAAUAAUCAGUGUAUGUGGUUAACCAGUAAUUACAUUAUUGUAAUUUCAGAUCAACCCUUUGCUACUAGUGAAAAAAGACCGUGGCCGUCCUGGAGGUCACAUUGCCAGACCUAAAAAGUAUGGAGAAAUCAAUGUCUUCAGUAAUGUUCCCAAUGUUGAGUUAUUGCAAGAAAGUGAUGAUGAUGAAGUGGCGUUGCCUGGGACUGAUGAUAUCGGACAGGAGCUGAUAACUGAGGACGAGGCUGAAGAAGAUUCUAAUGAUGGUGAUGAUAUGAAUAACAACACUGAAGAUGAUAGUGAUAUUGAUGACGUGGCAUUGCCUGGCAGUGAUGAUAUCGAACAGGAGCUGAUAACUGAGGACGAGGCUGAAGAAGAUUCUAAUGAUGGUGAUGAUAUGAAUAACACUGAAGAUGAUAGUGAUAUUGAUGACGUGGCGUUGCCUGGCAGUGAUGACAUCGAACAGGAGCUGAUACCUGGUGGAACUAAUGACGAGGCUGAAGAAGAUUCUAAUGAUGGUGAUGAUAUGCAUAGCACUGAAAUUGAUACUUUGGUCAGUGGGGAUGAAGAGAAUGACAGUGAUGAAGCCGAGACUGAUUGGGAAAACGAAGAAGAUGAUGGAGAAGCUUCUGUGGAGGGUAGUGGAAACAGAGAGAAAGCAGAGGGGAAGAAAAGGAAGUUAGUAGAUUUUGAUGCGAGUUUCCUCGCUGCUGAUACAAGCCUACGAGCACUAAAGAGAUGCGCAGAAGCAAAGAGGGAACAGCCAUCUUUUGCAGAAAGAGAUGGCAUACUUUCCAAUGAGGACUUCCAAAAAAUCAAAGAACUUAAGGUAUACAUACAUAUAUGCGAAAGAGACUUCCUCUGUUUGGUAAAGAAGUCCAACUUUGUUGAUGAUGUCUUGUGUCACAUGCAGGCAAAGAAGGAUGCGAAAAUUGCAUUGGCUCGAAAAGGAUUCAAAGUUCCGGAUUCUGAUAAGCUAAGUAAGAAGCUGGUCAAUCCAGCCAAACUUGAAGUAAGCUGUUACUACUAUGAGAAGCUCCAUUUGAGUCGCAAAAUGUUUUGGCGAUGUUAACUGAAUUUUCUUACUCUUUCCACAGGCUCACAUAAGGCAUAAACUAACAAAAGAAGAAAGGCUGGAGUUAGUUAAAGCGGGUAGGGAGGACCGAGGGAAAUACAAAUCCAAGACUGCCAUCAAGCAGAAGAAGGUAUCCGUUUUUGUUUCCGUUGUUACGAGAAAUGGUUAUUUACAAGCAUAGGCUGUGUGUUGUUUGAUGAUCCAAUAAUUGUGUGAAAUGAAAACGCAGACUGGAGGAUCGAGCAAUAGACAGAAGGAGCACAAGAAGAAUAUGCCUCUCGCUGCAGUAAGAUCAAAGGCUGGGAAAUCAAAGCGAGUCAAGAAAAAGAAGAAUAGCCUCAGCGGAAGCCAGUUCAGAGGAAGGAAAGCUUGGAAGUGAAAUUGAGCCAAACUCAUAUCCUUCUUUUUAUAUCUCCCUUUAUUAAAUUAUUUAACAUACUGGAAAAUUAAAUCAUUAUUACAAAACUUCCUGAUUUCUCAUAUUGGACUUGAUGAUAUGCUGUUUGAUGAACUUUACUUGUCCAUGAUAUUAUUAUCAUCACAGUUCACUUUCUCAUAUAGUGUUGUUGUGGAAUAUGGAUCAUAGAAACUUGUUUUAUUGGAUUCCAAAUAUCAAAUACAUAAUAAACAAACAACCAGAUGAAGAAGAAGCCACGAACGAUUCACUUAAAACUCUCUCUCCUCACUUCUUCUAACAAUGACCUCUGGAACGUUUCUGAUUGAGAUAGAUUAAUCCAAAUUUCACAUUUCAUCAAGUAAACAUGGAGAUGGUUGCGUAAUUUUCGAUUUGAGGCAAUCAAUAAAUUUGGCCGACAUAGUAUAUUAGGCUCGAAAUGGUACAUUGGGCCAAAGUCCAGCUCCGAAGACCAUUAACAAGAACACGUAUAAAGAAAAUGAAUCUAGGGUUUCAUCAUAUACUGGUAAUCUGAUUGCGGAAUGGGGGAUCAAGUUGACAACAAGUUCACAUGGGUGAUUAAGAAUGUCUCCUCUUUGCCGUCUGAGAAGAUAUAUUCUGAUUCAUUCGUGAUCGGUGGCUGUAGUUGGUAAGAAGAAGACAAGUUUUUUUUUUUGUUUCCCCUACAAUUUUAGGUAACGUUAUCAUUGAUUUUUGCUUGCAGGCGUCUUGUGGCGACAUAUUUCAAGAGAAAUAUAUUUAAUGAUUCUCUGUCUCUGUCUCUGUCACUGGCGGUGGCUGAUGCUGAGUAUUUGCCUUUUGGAUGGAAAAGACACGCAGAAUUUUCUUUUACUAUAGUGAAUCAAAUUUCUGAAGAAUUCUCCCAAGUGCAAGAUAUCUUUCGUGAUUUUACAGAAACACAAGAGUGGUUUGAUCACAGGACUCUUGCCUGUGGUUGUGCAUCCAGUUUUCCCCUUGCAAAACUGGAUGCCAAAUAUGGUGGAUUUAUACUGAAUGAACAAGUCAAGAUUGUUGCAGAGGUGAAAGUUCUUGUAGCUAUUGGCAAGUCUGAUGAGGCAGACAAACCUCUGAAAAAGAUCAAGAUUGAGUAUUAUGAUUUCCUCAGCGACACUCCACCAGUAGUGGAAGAACCCACUAUUGUCUACGGGUUUCCAGUUGUUUCUCCAGAGGUGGAAUUAGUGAGCCGCAUUUUUGAAAAUCACCCGGACGUUGCAUCAGGGUUAAGAAAGGACAUGAGCCCAUAUACGAAGAGAGCACACAUGUAUUCCCUAAUCUGCGUGAUUGAGACUCUGAACAAGCCACUUCAAGAAAUCUCAAGGUCUUAUUUGGUUGAUGCACGUGAUAGACUGGUGUUCCUCAGAAGCGCUGGACUUCUGUUGGAUUGGGUGGAGAAGAAGCUGGAUGAGGUGACCGAGAAGAUGGACAAAGAGGAACAAGGACAAGGAGAUAUUUGAAGGCAACACUGUUGGCAGCCAGACUGAUGCUUCUGUCUUCUCCGUUUCAAACUCUUAUUCUCUUUUUCUUUCUAGUUUCAUUUUGAAUGUGCUUGGUUUUACUUUAUUUACAAAACACACUCUGCUUUUGAAAAUCGGACACUUUUGGUUUGAUGACUAUCUCUAGGUUUUCUCUAUUGCACAGUGUGUUUCUUUACGGAAAAGUAAACAGUCGUUGAUCGGGAGAUUUAUUCGAAUUUCGAAGCCGAUUGCGACACUAUUUUCACCAUGAACUCCACCUCUUCCUCUCUGAUAUUCCUAUAAGAUUGAACCUUUUUAAGGCUAAAAAGCUCGAUAACAGCGAGCUUUCCCAUUUCUCGCCAAUGCUCGCCGUACUGCGAGAAACUGAUGUCUUCCCAGGGCCGGCGCAGAGGGCAAGCCACCGAAGCCACCGAUUAGAGCCUCAAAAUUUGAAGGCUUUUUUACCUAAAAAUUUGUUAAGUUUUCUUAUAUACAAUAAUUUUUGUAGGGCCUUUUAAAAAUAUUGUGCGCUUUUAGAGACAACUAAAACAUUCUUUUUAAUGGUAAAAAUCUAAUUUAAAAUAAUUUUUUUCAUGGGCUUUGAUUUGCUUAGGACACCCAAAUUCACCGGGCCGGUACUGUGUCUUCCGUAGGAGAGUUUACCCGUGCCGACCGUUCUUGGUCGGCUGCAACAUCCAAGGUCAUGGGUUUUGAGAUCUUCUUCAGCUGCUUCACUCGAGGAGAUCACAACCAUUGGAACAAACCCGCGAUGAAGAAGUACCACGGGUCCGUAUUUGAUGGAGAGAUGAUGAAAGCAUCGGUGAGGUAAUCCUGCGAAAUUGGUGUAAGUUUCCGAUGAUCGGGAGACUUGGAUGGCACGGAGGAAGAUUCCAUUUAGGGUUUCUCUUACCUUUGUCAUGAAAAAGAUUAAUGACACAAAAGUAAGAAGCAAUAAACCCCAUAAAACGCAGAGAAAGAAAGCCAUUUUCUUUUCUCUUCCUCUUUUUUUUUUUUUAGAGAUGAGAUUAGUUUAGUCUUGUAUAUAAGAUAAGUGAAAGAAGUUGUUGAUGUUAACUUUGUAAAUCAAGUGGCUGAGACAAAAGUUACAAUUUUGGUCGGUUUGAAUAUAUAGUAGGAAGCAAUAGGAAUGUGUCCAAACGAAAUAGAGACUCAUCCAUCUUAAAAUUUUCGCCGACUUUGUUUGUGUGGUGGUAGCAUAAAUGAGGAGAUAAAGAGUACGAGGAGGAGAAUUCUGGAGUGUAUAAGUUCCAUCAAAAACUAGUUUGAUAAAUUUUUAUUUCUGUUUGAAUUUGUUUAUUUUUUCCUAUAAGAAGAAAAAAUUCUCUUGAAAUCAUAAUUUUAUUUUAUUUUUAUUUUAAAGAAUUUUACAUAAAUAUCUUCGCUAUAUAUAAAAAAAAUUUGAUUGCGUCUCCAUUGAUGUUAAAUUGUCAAAAAGAUGGCUAUUAGUAUGUUUAUAAAAACAUAUUUAUGGUUAAAAACUUAAAAUAUGCAUAUGCAUCUACAUCAACAUUUUUUUUUUGAUCAUCUGAAAUUAUAUUAGAAUUUUCCAAACAUUUUUUUUGAUCAUCUGAAAUCUACAUCAACAUAUGACCACUCUUUUCUUUCAAACAUAACAAAUUAACACAUUAGUUGAAUAAAUGUUAAAAACAGUUAAAAAUUAUGUUUGUCUGUUUAACCUGUGAUUAGAUCUUAAAUGAUUGAACGAUUCCUUUUUUUCUUUAGUCAGUAAUUUGUGUUAGUUAUGGUUGAAGUGUUUGAUGAUCUAAAUGAUUAAUUAGAGUACCCAGCCCUUUAGAGCAAGUCCAAUGGUGUUUCUUAGUGAAGUUAUUAAGAAAUCCUUAGCUUAAAAAAUCAUUAAAAUUAAUGAAAACAAGAUAUUAGAGUUUCUUAGCUUAAGAAUUGUUUCUGUUUUAGGAUUUGUUAAGGACUCAUGUUGUGAUGCCUUGUGAUUGGGUGAGGAAAAAAUAUAGAAGCCAAAAAUAAAUUUAUCUCUUGUUUUUUUUAUUCUGCGACACUUAUUUUUCUGUCUUGCAAAAAUUUAUCUUUUUUUUUUUUUGUUUAAAUGCUAAAGUCUUGUUUUGUGAAUGGGGUUUUACUAAGACUCAGAUUCAUAUAUGGCAUAAAUUUGGCACGAAUUAAGCUAAAGACUAAUCGUUAUUCCGGUUUUUUAUUUAUAUUUUUUAAUAUGCUUUUCUGUUUUGUAUGUUUAAAAUUUAAGAAAAUUGUAAUAAUUAUUAAGUUUUAUCAAAUAAAAAAGUUUAUAAUUUUCAUUUUAAAAAUAAUUUUUUUUUUAAGAAACGUAUUUAAGGACUCUACCAUUGGACAAUGAAAAUUUUAAAGAUUCAACACAAACUCUUAAUUUUGAAAUUAUCACAAUUUAUAAUAAAAAAAUGUUUAAGAGUCCUUUUAAAGACUUUACCAUUGGACUUGCUCUUACAUAAUAUCAGAAUUAAAUUAGUUUUAAGUAUUGGAUUUUGAUCGCCACUUGGCCCACUUCAAAAAAUAAUUGUGUUAUAAUCUUUUACGACAAUACCAAGUGAAAUCAGUUGUGAAAGAAAAAAAAGCUAAUAAUGUUAAAACCGUGAAGAUUACCAGUAAAAUAGUUAGUUAAUCAUAUCUGGUUUCACUGAUUUUUAUUAUAAUUCAUUACUUUGCCUUUUUAAAAUUAAAAACGAAAAAAACAGUAAUGAGUUUUGGAUAAGGUUGAAGGGGUUUCUGGUGUUAUAACGUCCACCCAACUUUCGGUACAUCGCCAGCAUCGGAUUUAGCGGACCCCGAAACGUCCGGCUAAAGUCCAAUCCAUUAUCGCCACGUCAUCAAAUAACGUGUUAAACCGUCAAAAGUCGCCGUUACCGUCCUUCCCUCGGAUACUAAUUUUAGUACACAAAGAGAGAGAGACUUAAAAUUACUGUCAGUCAUACGUAUAUAUAUACGUAUUCGUAUAUCACGAUUAUUUUUCUUUUUUUAAUAAUAAAAAACUAUCUUUCUUUUUUAUCUUCUUCUUCUCCGAUCGGUGGAGUCUUGUCUCUCUAUCUUUAUAUUACUUGUUAACCUGCGCUUGCUUAUUGGAGCUCUUAACCUACGCGGAUUCUCCGAUUUAUGACAGCUGAACUCGAUUUGGUGGAUAAACAAGAGAGAUCGAGGUCCAAGAGGCCAAGGCUAGAAGAAUUCUACCGGAACAAAUGGAGGUUCUGGUAGGUUCUACGUUUAGGGAUCGGAGCAGCGUCACGGCGCAGGAUCAGGGUGUACCGGCGGCUCUGUCUAACCGGAUUGGUUUAAGGAGAUGUGGUAGAUCUCCGCCGGAGAGUUCGUCGUCUGUUGGAGAAAGCAGCGAAAACGAGGAAGAAGAAGACGACGCCGUUUCAUCAUCACAAGGAAGAUGGCUUAAUUCGUUUAGUUCAUCUUUGGAAGAUUCUCUUCCGAUUAAGUACGUUUCUUUAUUAAUUAUCUUCUAAAUAAUCAAAUUAUUCUUUAUUUACACCUGAAUAUAUUCGAUUUAAACCUCAACAAAAAAAAAAAAAAAAAAAAAACUAUUAAACCUUUUUUUAUUACAUGAAUAAAGUAAAUCACUAGAUUCUCUAUGUUCUUGUGUUUGAUUUUAUUGUUUGAUGAACCUGUAAGAUGUUGAAAUUGUUUCUCAGUUUAAAUGUUAUUACAUGUUGAGUGUUGGUUUAGUCAUUGUGGUUAGGUUUUGUUUUUUUUUUUGUUACAGGAGAGGAUUAUCAAACCAUUACAUAGGGAAAUCGAAAUCGUUUGGGAAUUUAAUGGAAGCGAGCAACGCAAAGGAUUUGGUGAAAGUGGAAAGUCCAUUGAACAAGAGAAGGAGAUUGCUUAUUGCUAAUAAGCUAAGAAGAAGAUCAUCCUUGUCUUCUUUCAGCAUCUACACCAAGAUUAACCCUAAUUCCAUGCCUUUACUUGCAUUGCAAGAAUCUGACCAAGAAGAUCACAAACUCAAUGAUGAUGAAACUAGUAAGCUGAAAGAGAAGAGGAUGAAGAUGACGAACCAUAGAGAUUUUAUGGUUCCUCAGACUAAGAGCUGUUUUAGCUUAACUAGUUUUCAAGAUGAUGAUCGAUGAUCAUUUUUGUUUCUCUUCUUCUUUUGUCAAGAGUAGAUAAAGUUUCGUUGACAAUAAGUUGGAGGAAGAUUUGACAGAAACCAAUUUAUGUUUAAUUGUAAUAAAUUAAUUUGACUGUUUGUAUAUUUUGGUAAUUCUCAACGAAGUAGACUUUUUUUUUUUUUUUUUAUCACACUUCUUGUCAACCUUGACAUUCGUUAAGCCCAUGAAAUUGGUUCUAUAAAAAAACUUAAGUCCACAUGACUAAGUCGUGAAUUUUGACGGCCUAGUCGUAAGUUCAAUAGAGGCUGCGUAGUCACUAGGAACAUGUUUAGGGUCGUUUUUCCCAAGUACAUAUUUUUUCUCUACCAAGUUGAAUUUAUUUAUGUACGAUUCAUCUUAGAUAUAGAAUUUGGAUAGAAGUUGAAUAUGUGUCUCACUGAGACGACCCACUGUCGAAAUACAAUAAUAUGUACACAUUAAAAAAAAAAAAUUGCCUACAAAGUAAUUAGAAAACAUAAAACUGAGAGUUUUGUUUUUGUUAAGUAUACUUUUUUCUUUCAAUUUACGUAAUAGCAUAGGAGAAACUGAUCUUUUCAAAUUUCGUAGGUACUUCAGAAAUGUGUCUAUGAAAUCGAUCAUAUCAAUUUUUAAAAAUUUAAGAAUGAUCAAUGAUGUCUAAAUGAUAUUUUAAUACUUCACAAUAAACUUAUGGUUCUAUAGUAUAUUUUUAGAAAACAAAACCAAGAGGUUAUAUUCUUAUCCAAUAUCUUCACAUUUUCAACUCUUCAACAAUUUCGCUUUCAGUAUUAUUGUGUAACCCAAUGCUUAUUUAUACUCAACUUACAUUUUUUAAUUCCAAAACCAGUAGUCCACCUACUAACAUCACGUUUUAAAAACAAGGCAAAAUUCUGCACCUGUCAAAAAAAACAAAACAAACCAACCAAUAAAACUUUUUGUCUUGCUAUAUAAACCACAGCAUCACUUAUGCAAAGUAGAAAAUAUCCGAAAACAAGUCUUAAGUAAGUCAAACAAAGAAAAAAAUGGAUCUCUUCUUGAUUAUAGCCGCUUUGGUAGCGGCUGCAGCCUUCUUUUUCCUCCGUAGCACGACCAAGAAAUCUCUCCGGCUACCUCCGGGACCAAAAGGUCUUCCUAUUAUAGGAAACCUUCACCAGAUGGAGAAAUUCAAUCCACAACACUUCCUUUUCCGUCUCUCCAAGCUAUACGGCCCGAUUUUCACGAUGAAAAUCGGAGGCCGUCGCCUAGCGGUGAUCUCCUCGGCCGAGCUAGCCAAGGAGCUACUCAAGACUCAAGACCUCAACUUCACCGCUCGUCCUCUCUUGAAAGGGCAACAAACGAUGUCGUAUCAAGGCCGUGAGCUUGGUUUCGGACAGUACACCGCCUACUACCGUGAGAUGAGGAAGAUGUGUAUGGUGAACCUCUUCAGCCCAAACCGUGUCGCAAGUUUCAGACCGGUUAGAGAAGAAGAGUGUCAACGGAUGAUGGACAAGAUCUACAAAGCCGCUGAUCAAUCAGGCACCGUUGAUCUAAGUGAGCUUCUCUUGUCUUUCACCAACUGUGUCGUAUGUAGACAAGCUUUUGGGAAACGGUACAAUGAGUACGGUACAGAGAUGAAGAGAUUCAUAGACAUCUUGUACGAGACGCAAGCACUUUUGGGCACUCUGUUUUUCUCCGACCUCUUUCCUUAUUUUGGAUUCCUUGACAACCUCACUGGUCUUAGUGCGCGUCUCAAGAAAGCUUUUAAGGAGCUUGACACUUACCUUCAAGAACUUCUAGACGAGACUCUUGACCCUAACCGCCCUAAACAAGAAACAGAGAGUUUCAUUGAUCUAUUGAUGCAGAUCUACAAAGACCAACCUUUCUCCAUCAAAUUUACUCACGAAAAUGUCAAGGCCAUGAUAUUGGUUCGUAACUCUAUCUAACCCUUAUUGCAAUUCUCUAAGUUAGUUAAAUCUCAAUAUUAUUAUUAUUAACUCGGUUUGUUUCUAAUUUUAUCAGGAUAUUGUUGUGCCGGGAACUGACACGGCGGCUGCGGUGGUGGUAUGGGCCAUGACUUACCUUAUAAAGUACCCUGAAGCGAUGAAGAAAGCUCAAGACGAAGUGAGGAAUGUGAUAGGCGACAAAGGAUAUGUCUCUGAAGAAGACAUACCUAAUCUCCCUUACCUCAAGGCAGUCAUCAAGGAGUCUCUUCGGCUCGAACCAGUCAUCCCCAUUCUUCUACACAGAGAAACUAUCGCAGACGCAAAGAUCGGUGGCUAUGAUAUCCCGGCCAAGACCAUCAUUCAGGUGAACGCGUGGGCGGUUUCUCGUGACACAGCCGCGUGGGGAGACAACCCUAAUGAGUUCAUUCCAGAGAGGUUCAUGAAGGAGCACAAAGGAGUGGACUUCAAGGGCCAAGAUUUUGAGCUCCUACCUUUCGGGUCGGGCCGGAGAAUGUGCCCGGCCAUGCAUCUUGGGAUCGCAAUGGUAGAGAUACCUUUCGCUAACCUUCUCUACAAAUUUGACUGGAGUCUACCUAAAGGGAUUAAACCAGAGGAUAUAAAGAUGGACGUCAUGACUGGACUCGCUAUGCACAAGAAAGAACACCUCGUCCUUGCACCAACGAAACACAUCUGAUGCUAUAUAUAUCAUUAGGACGUUUCUGCUGGUAGAUAUGGCGUGAUCAAUGGUUGUUUUUCAUUGCAAUAUUUUCGUUUUAAUGAGUACUCUGUUGGUGUUAAAUUUUUUUUAAAAAAAUAUGAGUACUCUGUUUUUUUGGGUCUGUUCUCAUUUUUUAACCAAUAAUGUAUUGAUGUGCUUCUUUUUUUUUAAGUCUAGAAAACAAAGUAUUUCCACUGGUUUAAAAUAUUUCUUGAUAUCUUAUCUACGAUGUCGAUAACAUAUGAUUAGAUUACAUGCUGCUAAAAAACAAUAAUAUGAAAUCGAAAGGAAGUUUCGUUGACAACGAUAAGUAGUGGAAGAUUUGACUUUGGACAACAUGUUGCCAAAAGAUUAGGACUAUCUUUAGAAUACUAAGUUUAUCAUUCUGAAAAAUUGAAAAGCAAUCCUAGAAUUCAAGUUGUAUGACUUUAUUCCUUGUUUUCUCAUUUUUGCAGACGAUCAAAAAACUCAAAAAAGCAUAUGAAAGAAAAGAGAAAUACGCUUUUGACUUAUAAAAACAGAGAACAACGAAAGGCCAGAAAAGCAAAGAAGAGUAGAGAUCAAUCUGAAAUGACGCGAUUCUAAAUUGGAGCAAACCCAUGCUUUGAAAUCUACUAUAUCAUAAAGCAUUUCAAGAAAAUCACGGCUUAAUCUCCUCAACAAACGACUUUAUAGAAGAAGAAGAAAGCAUUACCAAUAAAACAAAAUCGUCUAGUAGUGUAAAUAAAGCACAGCCGUAUGAGGAAGAAUCCAUCGGUGCCAUACCGGAAAAUAUACCGGUUAAGGAAGAAUGAUAACAAAUUGAAAUGACUCUUUACAUAUCCUCAACCGCCUCCUCUCUCCUUGUAGUAAACAGAUUCAACCAACAAAAAAUUGCUCAAGAGAGAAACGUACGUAGUCUAAACCUGUUACCUUGCACGCCACCAUUCCAUGCCUGUGAGAAAUCAUCGGUAUGGUACCGGAAAUUAGACCAUUUAAGGUUUAAGGAUUCAAACAUUUAUGGAUUGGAUUGAGAAAUAGAAUACGUUUUGAGAAGAUUAGCUAACCUCAGCUACUACCCUUUUGUUUGAGGGUGAUUUUGUCCCCAAGACUUAGAGCAAUCCCUUGCGUCUUGCUCCUUAUCCUUAUGUAGCCACUCAAUGCUCCAUCGGUUUGCUUCUCAAUACUCACAUUCACAAGAGCAUCUUCACCAAACACACUUUUUGCAUAUAAGUUUGCUGCAAGGAAUCCACAUUCACCUUCUAUUGCGGAUCUGCAAAUAGGGAAGCAUUGAUUAGUAAGAAGAGUUUUUAGUUUCUAUCUGAUGAAAGAAGAAUUUGAACUUACGGGGCAGUGAGACAUUUCAUGUUUGUGGAUUUGAUAAUGUGGUCGAGGAAUUCUCUUUCGUUUUGAAUUGUGGUGUUCACAGCAACCUGACAUGAAGAAUACAACAGGGAAUGGUUAUACCAAACUCGAACAAACAAACAAAAAAAGAAGCUACAACUAUAAAAGGUUUCGGUAAAUUACCUUGUUUUCCCAUUCAAACUCUGCCCACAUAGUUCUGAAAGCAACCUCUGAGCACACAGCAGGGGAGAUAUAGUCCAUGAUAUCAAUGUGUAUGUCGUUAAGAACCACGACGUUUCGCUCCAUUACAUUUGAUGUCUCAUAGACGAUGUUCCCAAAUAUGACUCCCGUCUCUGUGGACGAGACCUUGAUGUUUGCUUUUAUCUGCAUGCUUCUUUCAGGUGCCAGACUAUAGUUCUGAGGACGCUCAACAAGUUUGAGAUCACCCAUGGUUGCUAACUCCAAGCACAGAUUCUGAAGGGUUUCCUUGGUACGGUUGAUUACUGUAACUUCGAGCGCAAUAUCAUAAUGGUGUACCGUCACAUAUGCUUCAGCAUAGACUGGGUCACUGAAUCCCGUGAGCUGAAGAAUGCGGUUAAGUUUGUUAGCAUCGUUCUCGUCCUUGGUGAAUUCUCCAGUUGCACGCUUUAGGUCAUCUUGUACCUGGUCUUCCAACUCAAGUUGACUCAUUCCCUGAAAGAAACUUAUCAUCAGUACUUUCAACUACAGCGAAAUAAAUAAACAUAGCAUGCCACUAUCAACUUCCAUUGUCUUUCUUUGAAACUGAGAAUAUGAAAAAAUAUCGGAUAUGAACUGUAAGAUAAAGUAGACACCAACGAUAUCAGAACUAAACAGAUUGCCAAGGAAAACUCGUAAGGAAAAAAAAACACAAUAAAGCAAGGGCAAGCUUAGAAAGUAAUAUUACCUUCCGACUCUUUAGAUGGAAGAAGUCAAUUAGAUCAUCAGGUUGAGCAUGAGUUGUUUGGGUCUUUGCCUUUAGUUCCUCCAUCUCUCUAAGCUGUUUUUCAGAAAUCAUCUUGACAAAACUCUGGCGACAGUAUUCCAACCAUAUCUUUUUCAUCUCAUCAUUCCUAUGGCAAAGCAAUUUUAUGCACAACACAAUCCUCUCAUACGAAUCAUUAUCAAUAGGGUGUGGAGAAACAGGAGAUUGCCCAAGUUGCAACAUAGAAACCAUAAUCAGCAAAGCCUGUGUGACUGUCUUGUUUACUUCAGUUUUAGAAGACUGAACCUCUUCCAACCUAAGAACAAGUUUAGUCAACGUGCAAGCAACCACUGCUCCAAGGAAAAAAUCACCAGUUAGAAGCAGUGCUCUCAAAUUUCCAGAAGUCAGUGAUCCUUGAACAACUGUAGGUGAGGAGAAUGUGGUUCAGAGGCUGCGCUUUGGGUAGCAUAAGUUCCAUCAGCAAGAAUCACUGGCUUUCUAGAGGACACCAUGGCAGAAGAGGUAGGCUGAAUCUUCUUCGAUGUCUCAGUUGGCUCAGACUCCUCAGAAACAGAGUAAAAUGGUAAAUCGCCAAGGCAUUGUUUAAUGGUUGAAAUGCCACUCUCAACUUCUGAAAGUGAUAGGCAAUACUCCCCAAUAAUCCAAAGUGCACAAGGGCAGACCUUUCCUGCGCGGAUCUGAUAGAACGUGUCCAACAACCUGGUUAUGAUUGAAACUCUUAACUUCGGAUUUGUUUCUAUUAUCUCUCUAACAAAAACAACCACGUCAAGAGCUGAAGCCACAUUGCUAUCUCCCAAGAAAUCCAUUAGAAGAUGGACUACUGUACUUGCAACUUCGGGGAACUUCACUGCACAAGCAUGGAUUGCUUGAAUAAGCAUUUGUCUGUACUCCCCAUUCUUCUCAAGUUCUCCACUCUGUGUCUUCACAACUUCUUUCUUCAACAUUUGAACGACCUCAUUAAUAUUAUGAUGGGUAAUCAAGUCAAGGGCAAUGUCAAGUGUCUUCCUGCGGAUAUCAAGGUUUGGGCUUGAGAGUGCUCUGAGCACAUCUAUUAUCAACUCAACCAUGAUAUCUCUGUGCAAUGUCUUAAGCUCAUACAACCGAUCAAGCAAUAUUAGCUUCACAUUGUUGUCACUCUGAGAAAGAAGAAGUUGGCAGUAGGUGUUGGCAGCAGCCCUAAUAGCAGUCGGGGCAGAAGAGAGAGAAACAAGUGUCCCAGCACAUUCAUAGAUAACUGCAGAAGAAGUAGCACUUAACAGAGAAAUAAUAAUCUUAAUAUAUUUCCCCUUCUCUGUUGGUUUAGUCUUACACACACUUCGAAUCAACUCCAGCACCACCAUCUGAAGUGAUUCAUUCCAGUCUGAAACCUUGUCAACAUUGCUCAGAAGAUAAUUCACUGCUCGUUCUUCGGCACAGGUAAAGAGCAUUAGAAAUGCAUUUCUCUUGGCAGACGGAUCUUGUUCUGUUGAUAGAACUUUCUCGAUCAUUUCAGGUGCAUCCACAAAGAGUUGGUCUCCUUGUGGAAGCUUAUAUAUCGACAUGAUAGCUAGGAUUGCAUUCCUACGUACAAACGGAUGGCGAUGCUCCAGAUUUUGCAACACUGAUGGAGUCAACGGUUCUACUAUUUCAGUCUCCUUCAACCGGCAGAGAAACCUCAGUGUCACACCACGGAUGUACUCAUUCGAAUGCUGAAGGUUAUUCCGAAGAUUCUGGCAUAUCAAAAUCAUUUCAGGUAACACCUUCCCCUUAGAAUCGGUUUUUUCAAUCAGCUCCAGGUAUAGCAACAGAAGCUUUUGGAUUGUGUGGUCCUCAGAAGGCAGCACAUAUCUUAUAAUGGUUAUGAAAAGCUGAGGAAUGGUUUCACCAUUCAACAAAAGCAUAACCGCCUUCUUCAUGGCAUCAAUUUUAGCUUCAACAUCAUUUCCUUCGAGAGCUUCUUUAAUCUCAUUGGCCACUGCAGGAGUCCCUUUGUCAUAGUGCACAAGCAAGGUACUAGAUUUGUCCAUCUUUUCCGGUGCUGCAGCUGCAAAAAAAGUGAAAGAGAAACCGAAAAAAAAAAAAAACUUGUGAGCCCAAAUGAAAAGGAAAAUAGUGCAGGAACAAGUGGUACCAAUGUAGCAUAAGAAAGAUAGAAAGUGAAUAUAGAGAAUAGGAACCCAAACUCCAUACAAUUGAUUAAAGACAAAAUGAGGUAUAUAUAGAUCACAAGUAACAAACAAGAUAUCCAAAAUGUUAAUAUUUCUUGCGAUUUCAAGUUUGAAUUACUGAGUAUAAGCACCUUACUAGUGUCCUCAUCACUGCUCGAGUAAGUUCUAUACAAGAAGUUUAUGAGUAUCCUCCUCAGCAAUAAUCUACACCUCUCUACUUAUAUAUCUAUACAACGAAUGAAGCAUCUCUUUUCUCUCGAAUCCAUGGUUUAUGAGAAAGCAUCAUAAUCGCAGAAGAAUAUUCGGUAAUGUUCAAUCAAGGACCGAAAGAUGCAAAACAUUGACAAAUCUAAAUCAUCAGAUCCAGCGAUACACAUCACUUUACCAAAACAUUAACAUAAAAUCGAAUAAUAAAAACAGCUUCCGAUCAACUAAAAUUCAAAAAACAUCCCCAGAUUUGAUGAACAAACAAUGGAAUCUACAUAGUUCGCAGUCUCACUAAGCUGCACAAACAUGAGAAUCAGUUUCCUACCGGGAUCGGAUCAAUCUUUAAGGAGAUCGAACAAAGAACGUCCGAGAAUAUCGAACAUUGUAGAGUUUUCACAAAGGAAAAAGGUAAAAGGGGGAUCGAUCUCUAUGAAAUCUGAGUCGCAAGUUAAACAGAGAGAGAGACGAACCUCAAGGUACGAGAUCCAGAGAGAGAGAGGAGGAGAUCCACGGAGUUACGAAGCUUUUGGAUCCAAGAGAAGAUUUUGGAUCUCGGAAAACAAAAACACUCCCACAAAGUGAGAGAUAAAAAAUGAGCUUAUUAUCGUGGAUUCGUCUUCUGAAUUUACUCCUCCAAAUCCGUUUUUUUUUGGAAAACGAAGAACGGAAAAAAGCGAGUCAGCCUCAAAGGCCCAAAUAAUUGAUUGAUGGCAAGCCCAGCCCAAUAGAUGUUGAGAAAACAUAGCCCCUUAUGUUUUUAAUUGUUUCCAAAAUGACCCCAAACUUCAUAAAGUGAGCUUCAUUAGGAUUGAGGAAUCUUAGGACACUUUGGUCAGAGUUUAUUACCUAACCAACAAACGGUAGUCAACUAAAUUGAUAUUCUUUUGGUCUAUUUGAUGUUCUACAUAAUAUAAAUUUAGUUAACCAACGGUAAGCUCAACAACUAGAAGCCUCACAAUAUUUAAAACAAGGCAUCCCAAAUUUGUAUCACGUUCUCUAGCACACCAUCUGAUACGCCUCAUAAAUCUGCAUAGUAAGCAUGUUAAUAUGUUAUAAUUAAACAACUAUUUUAAAAGUGGUCAAAAUAUAUAUAACUUAAUUAGGUUUUAUGAAUGAGUUUGUAUAAGUAUGUUUUAUGCUUGGGAUGCUUGCUCGUUGCUAUGCCUAUGAUAAAGUUUCUUCUUACAAAAAAAAAAAAAAAAACAUUCUAGUAAAACUUCCCUCAUAUAUAAUGAUCUAUUACCUUACUAGAUUUUAUCUCGUGGUACACCACAGAUCGAUUUUUUUAACUACAAAAUUAAAUUUUAAGUUGUAUUUAUUUUAAUAUUGUUUAUUUUGUUAAGUCUUUAAGAUCGUAUAAUUGUAUUUUGAUUGUUAAUUUUAGGAUUUUAUCCGUGAUACGUCCCGUAUUAAUAUCGAUCCAAACCCGUCCUACCAUAUAACCCCGUUCCGUGAAAUUAAAUAUCAUUUUGUUAUUUUUAAUAAUAUUUUAUCAAAUAGACAUAUAAUUCGAGUCAAUUUAAAAGUUUAAUAUUAUAUAUAUUUUUGAAUUUUAGUUAAUAAUAAUUAAUUCUAUAUAAUGAUUUCCGAAUUAAUUGCGUAUGUCCAACAGUAAGAAUGAAGAUUAAUAACCAGAUUAAGAUUUGAAUGGUCACGAUUAAAUAUAGGGAUUGUUGAGAUCUUUUAAGGAAAUCGAAUUAAAUAUGGAUUUAAUUGUGAUAAAGAUUAUUUAUUGUUAAUAUAUUAUGUUAAGAUUUUUGGAAACAAUUUUUUAUGUUAAUAAGUCUGGGCAAAUAAACCGAACCAAAUGUACCGAACCGAAACCGAAGCAAAAAAACCGAACCGAACCGAACCGAAAAUUUGAAAAUAACCGAAUGGAUAAUAAAUUUAAUAACCGAAAUAACCAUAACCGAAUCGGUACCGAACCAAAAUAUUUUGGUUAACCAAAAUACCCGAAAUACAAUUAUAUUUUCAAAAUAAUUAGUUAUUUAUAGACCAAAUAAUCAAAAAAUACUUGAAAAAUAUAUAAAAAUAGUUCAAAUACUCGAAAAUAACCAAAAUAUAUCCAAAAAUAUCUGAAAAUACUCAAAAAUAACCGAAAUAUCCGAAAAUAUCCUAAGCAAAAUAACCGAAUGGAUACUAAAUUUCAAAACCGAAAGAACCGGAACCGAACCGAAAUUUCAAAAUAUCCGAAUGGGUACUAAAUUUUAGAACCGAAAAAACCGAAACCGCAUAGACCCAACCGAUAAAACCGAACGGAUAACCGAAAGCCCAGACUUGUUAAUAUCUUUGAUUUAAAUUUGUAAUUCUAAAUAAUUAAUGUCCAUGAUAUUUGAUCGUAGUUAAUAUCUUUGAUUUAAAUUUGUAAUUCUAAAUAAUUAAUGUCCAUGAUAUUUGAUCGUAAAUAAGUUGAAACUCGAGGAUUUAUUUCAUAAAUGUCUCUGAAAAUGUAUAUAUAGAUGCAUGCUUUGUUUGAAAAGAAUCAUUCCCUACAAAUAAUCAAUGUUCCACCGAAAUGAUUAGCACUUGUCAUUGCACAUUAUUAACAUAGCAUGUGUUUAGAUUCUUUAGAUGAUAUAUACGUACAAAUAUGAAAGUAUAAACAAUGGUGUAUGUAUAUAUAUAUAUAUAUAUAUAUAUAUAUAUAUAUGUAGUACUAGAUCCAGAGAGGUUGACAAUCAAAUCUAACUCAUCUUCCCAAUGGAACCAAAAUCUUUGAUAUUCGUCAUCAUCAUUAUCAUAGUCAUCAGCACUCCACUUCCUUCUCUCUCUUUUCAAUUCCCAUCCAACAAAACACCAACAACAUCAACACUAAUUUCUUCUCAAUACAAAACCCUAGCCCGCAACACAAUUCAGCAGCAGUUUCUCCGACCACACAACAUCUUACGAGCCAAGCUUCGUCUCCCUCCUCUGAAAUGGAGCAAUAGUCUCGCCCUCUACGCGAGCCGGUGGGCCCAAACCCGCGGUGGAGAUUGCAAACUUAUUCACUCCGGGGGACCUUACGGGGAGAAUCUCUUCUGGGGAAGCGGAAAAGGGUGGACUCCACGGGACGCGGUGGCUGCAUGGGCAUCGGAGAUGAAAUACUAUGACCGGAGGACUUACCACUGCAAGGUGAAUGGGGAUUGUUUGCAUUACACGCAACUUGUAUGGAAGAAGAGUUCGAGGAUUGGGUGUGCAAUCAGUUUUUGCAAGACCGGUGCCACAUUUAUUAUUUGCAACUAUGAUCCUCCUGGUAAUAUUGUUGGACAGCCACCCUUUUGAAUAUUGUCUACACUUUAUCUUUACCUUUAUUUUCCUCAACUACGUACACUUUAUCUUUAUUUAUGUAAAAUCUUGUUUUGAUUCUUGGAUAUUUGUCAUAUUGUAUGUAAGAUAACAAAAAUGAAUUACGUUUUCUCUUGUAUCCGUAUCAUAUGUACAGUAUAUGCUAAACUUUUCGGGUAAGGUUUCAGUUUCAUUAUAUUAAGCCACCAAUAAAACACCUGAUUUUUAACAUGAGUUUUUUUGGUGAUGCAAUUUGUGUUUUGAUAUAUUUUUGUUGCCGUAAACAAAUUUUUAUUUUUUAUUGUUUGGCCGGUUUGAUUGUGUUUCGGUUGAGAUGGGGGACCUACGUUCUUAAAUUCAGACUUUCAGUUCAUGUUGACUUGGUUCGGUCUAUGUUAGAUGCUGAUAUUGACUUUUAUCCGGACUGCCAAAUUGAACCGAAUAAAACCAAACCAUAAAUUAAGGGGAACUAAUCUGGGCCUCAGAGCCAACGAAAUAAAAAAGCCCAAUGCUUCAAAACUCAGAAACUGAACCCUAAAGAGGCUUAGAUCGCUACAUCGACGCCGGUCCGAAACUUCGACUCGUGGUUAUCGUCAGUUUCAUUUCUGCUUCUUCUCUCUCUCGUGGCUAGACCAUUUAUGUGGUUUGGUUCACUUCAGGUCAGCUUCUCAUCGAUUCUCUAUUCUGUUUGUCUUGAUUCGACGAUUCAUUUGAUCUUUUAUUCAAUCGGUGUCUGAUUCGAGCGACGGCGAAGCAAGAAGGCGAAAUAGCAUACCGGAUUUUACCGGCUAAUUUUAUCCGGUUUGACUAAAAUCGUUGGCUAAACCGAUUUGUUUCCAUCUUCAGGUCAUACCAAGCACAGAGAAAAGCAUUUGGGUAGGUUUUGCGAUCUGUGAUUUUCGGAAGGAGAAACGAAAAUGGCGUUUAGAGGGAAGGAGAUGAUGAAGAAGCUGGUGAAGAGAGUGGGAGCGGAGAAUAUCACGCCAGAGCUCAAGGAGAAGCUCAAGGCUUGUGUUCCUGAUACCAAAGUCGUCAUGGGCAGAGCCAAACGCGGUCUCUACGCCGGCCGCCAUAUCCAGUACGGCAACCGCGUCAGUGAAGAUGGUGGAAACAAGUUUGUCUCUUUCUCUCUAUGCCUCCCUAUCUGUUUAUGAUGUAUGUGUAUUCGCUUGAGAUUUGUUGAAUUUAGAGCUUGUGAUGGUUUUGCUUAAAAUUCACGCAUUGAAGGGCUAAUUUGUAUGUUUUUUAGGAAUGCUUUCUAGAUUUAGGUUUCAUUUUGGUGAAAUGAAAUCUAAAUUCUUGCGUUUGGAAGUAUUCAAUAGCCUUUGAAAUCUUUAGCUGGUUAGAGAUUGUAUAGUGCCUCAUUUUGUUUAGCGCUCUCAUUUGUUUCCGGAAGAUGGCAUUGUUGUUUUGUUUCUGUAUCAUGCUACUCUAAAGAUUCUCAAUAUUUUGAGCCAUGGUGUGAUGAAAUUUAUCCCCUUUAUAGAGAAAUGUAGGAUCCAUGUAACCUAUGUGUCUUAAUCUGAUUUAUUCUGUAUGGUUUGGUAACUUUUGUUUGUGAUUUGAGUUCAGGUCCAGAAGAUGUUGGAAACCGAAUGUCCAGGAGAAGCGAUUGUUCAGCUACAUAUUCGACCGUCACAUUAAAGUCAAAGUCACAACACAUGCUCUCCGCUGCAUCGACAAAGCAGGAGGAAUAGACGAGUACCUGCUAAAAACACCAUACCAAAAGAUGGACACAGAGAUGGGUCUUUACUGGAAAACCAAAGUAGAGCAAAGAUAUGCAGAGCUAGGUCAAAUGGAAGUAGCCUUCUUCACUCCAGAGGAUGAAGCCAAGUUCGAACAAGGAUUCAAAGACUUGAAUAUAGCUAAGAAAGAUGCUCGUAGGGAAGCUAGAAGAAAGAUGUAUGGAAAGAAAGGCGGAGAAGGGAAAGCUGAUGAAGAAGCUUCUAUUGAAGGUGGAGGGUCAAAGUCACACCAAGAAGAUGAUCAUGGGUGGUUAGAAGCUAAAGCUUAGUGCUGCACUCUUUUCUUUUUGCUGAGGUUCUUCAACGUUUUUAGAUUUUGGAAGAUGUGAGAGGUAUGUGAUGUUGUAGGUUAUAGGUUCGAUUCCUCCCUACGAAUCCCAUAACUCAGGUUUUGACUUUGAUCAAUGUCGAAAAGUCUUGUAAUAAAUGGUUUACACCUCUUUGGAAUUGGAUCUCUAUUUACCAUUUUUACAUACUUAGCUUGUCCUUCUCUUUCGAUACCUCAUCUCCAAUGGUGAACAGUAGGUGAUCUUAGUAUUAUAUAUUUGCGUAAGUAUUCUUCACAAGUUAAUAUUAUCUGAAAUUUCGUUCAUAUAAUUUUAAAACAAGUGUGUCAGUGGUAUUUCUGAUUUUUGUAUUUAUUUCAGUUCUAGUAUGUAUUUAAUUUCUGUUAUCAAUCAUUUAACCAUUCAUUUCACAAACAUCAACUAAAGUUUGAUUUUGGAUCCACCAAAAAGUUAUAAAUUUAAAGAAUUUGGUUGCUCUACCAUAAAGUCACAAAUUUUCUUAUUUUAGAAAACAAAUAGUAAUAUAGAGAGAUUUAAAAUACAAAAAUCAAGGAUAAAGGCUAAGAUGUUUGUUGCUAUAAUAGAGGACAGAUAAUUAAACUACAUUAUCCUUAGUCGUGGCAUCAUCACUAAAUACUUAUCAGAAUUCUCAUGAUUUUGUUUUCUUUUUCCAUCUUCUGACCAAACAAAGAUAUUGGACAUAAUAACUUUAGUUUAAUAUCUUUAGUUCUCUACCGCUACCUAGAGACGUCGCAAUCUCUACCAACCGUCAGAUAUUCCGACCCCAUUAUAGACGGCGAGGAUCUCUGCGUCUCCGUCAUCUCAGAUUCUUUUUUUUGCGAUAUAAAAUUUAAUGAAUAUUUGCUUUGAAGGUCAUUAUGGAAUAAAAACAAACAUUUGAUUUAUUCUUAAUUCCAAAAAGAUAAAUUACUUAAAAUAACUUGCAAAACCGAAGAAAAAAUAUCGGCAACAAGAACAAAACGCUCUUCUAUUUUUUUUCUUCAUCUUCCAAUUUCCAGGAACAAGAUUGGACGAAAUCUAAAGGUAAUCAUCGAACAAAAUAAACAGCUUAGCUUCUAAAAAUCCUUCCUUUACCUCGGGAUUCUUUUUAUGUUUUCGGACAAAUUGACUUUUUUGUGUGUUUAUGAUGGUUUGGAAACUAAUGAUAAAUGAUGUUACUGUUCUUGAUUCUGAAUCGAUUUUGUAAGUUGUAACUCUCUCUUGUUUUAGACCAGGUAACAAAGAAAACAUUUACUGUUUUUGUUUCUCUCCAAUGAAUCACUUGUGUAAAAUAGUUGAGAAUUGUUUCUCUUCAUGUUCAAGAAAUUUGAUUGUUUUAGUUCUUUUUCAAAAUGAAAUCUUUAUUGAGAAGUGAUUGUAGGCAUCGUUUGGAUCAUUUUAUGAAAGGUUUCAUUUUUAUUUGAACCAUCACAGAUGAUAAGCUUUUGUUUCGAUAGGACCUUUGCUAGACUUUUGUGGUUGAAGCUCUUUAUGUUUGGCUGUUGAUUUUUAAGAUCGUUAUUACAAGAGUUUAGUCAGAACAAUGUUUUCUUCUAAUGAUGAUUUUAUGUCUGGUGCAAAGGUAUUGAAUCGCAGAUUUUAGCAGUUUAGUCUCUGAGUAUGACUCUUGUAUUUGCUCUUUUGCUCGUUUUUUUUUUCUAUCAGUGUUUGAUCUGUUCUUUUUUUUCAUUCUUUGGGGAACUUUGGAGUUCAAAUGAAUAGUUUUUCUUCAAGAAUUUGCGUUUUGAUAAAGUAAAAUAAAGAGUCUUUUUGUUACAGGUAUUGCAUCCAUUUAAAAAGUUCAUGGAUAGGUGGUCGGGUAAAAGAGCGCAUGAGGCGCGACCUGACUCUAAGAAGGGUGGUGGUGUUGUUUUCAGAGAUAGAUUUAACAACAAUAGUUGCAAGGUUCCUAUUUGUAGUGAUGAGAAAAAAACGAUGAACUUUACUCGGUUUGUUGGCUCUUCAGAUAAGAAAGAGAAGUCAGUCUUGUCUACAUACCGCUCUUCGCCAAACGGGAAGGAAGUAAUUGGAACUUCCUCUAAGAUUUGUGGCUCUAGCUCCUCUUCUGUGAAAAGUGAGAAGCAACCGUUUUCUCAGAUAGCCAUGGAUUCAUCAGAGAGCAGCAGAGGUAGCGAAGAUGAGGUAGAGACAGAAAUCUUGCAAGUUUCUCUUGGAAGAGAUAAAAGAAAAGCUAACAAUAAACUUAUUUAUGGAAAAGUUAUAACACCAGAAGCGGAAUGUUCAAACUUGCCAUCGAGCUCAAGAAUCAAGAGAGGUUUUAGGCAGAGGUUUGGGUUGAGCAAGCAAGAGUUUCACCCUGGUCCCUCUGGCCAGUCAACAUCUGCCAACCGAGGAUGCAGCCCGUUGUUAUCCGGUGUCAUUCCAAGUGGUUUUGGAUUGGAGAAAAGAUUAAGUCGGAAGGCAGAUACUAUCAAUAAGAGGAAAGUUUAUGGAGAAAGCAGUUCUAGCUCCUCAGCUAGGGGGAAGAAUGUAACAGAAACACCAGCUGAAGUGAGACGUCGUAGUUUUAAUCCGAGAGGUUCUGUUUCAGAUAUUAGACAGGCUAGACACUGCAUUUUGAAUGAUGACAACGAUGUUGCUUCAUUUGGGAGUCAGAGAUUGGCAGAUAGAAGUAAUAGUCGCAUUAGAUUCUCAAACCCUGGGAGUGGUAGAGAAGCUUUAUCCUCUGUCACGGCAACAGAGAUGUCUCAGACUGAGACAUCAAACAAUCUCAAUUCUCCUGUCUCUUUGGAGCUGUUCUCUGGUUUCCCAGAAUUUGGCCUCUCUGGUUCCUUAUUGAGUCAAGACAGUUUUCGCAGUUACAAUUUAGAUGGGAUCUCGGAGGUAACUAUUUCCUGUUACUCUACAACUUGACAUCUUGUCUGAGCAUCAUCAACUAGUGCUUACAACAAUGCCCUUAGCACCGUUUAACUUUUGGUGUUUUGUAUUGCUCGGAUGCUUUUGCAGAUUUUGCCAGAACUUGAUAGGAUUGAACAAGAUAUCGAGCUUAAUUAUGAGGUUAAAAUUUGACACAUGUUUUGACUUUUGAGUUUCAGAUGUUGUGAUAGUGUUGUUACUCAUAUUUUCCUCUCCCUUAUCAGGAGCUGCUUAUCAUGGAGACAGGUUUACUUCUCGGUGGACUAAGCUUCCAUGACCAACACCGAGACAUGAGGCUAGACAUAGAUAACAUGUCAUAUGAGGUUCGUCCUUACAUCUUUCAAACUCGUGUUCCGUAUUGGGAUGUAGUAUCUUUACCGUUUUGUCUUUUUAUUUUUGAAUGAAUACAGGAACUAUUAGCUCUUGAAGAGAGGAUUGGUACAGUAAGCACUGCUCUCACAGAAGAAGCAAUAUCAAAGUGCUUGAAAACAAGCAUCUAUCAGAUGAAACCUGUAACUUAUGGGUCUAUCACCAAAAGUCCUAGUGAUCACAAGGAAGAUGCCAAAUGCAGCAUCUGCCAGGUUUGUCUUGUUAGUCAUAAUCAAGCCUUUGGCUUUGAUGAAAUCUUAAGGAAAGCCUGCCAUGAGUUGAUGUAGCUAAGUGAACAACACCAAACUUUGUCUAUUGUUGCGGGUGCUGUCACAAAGUGUAAUGGAAAUCUUUGAUUAUUACAGGCGUUUCAUUGAUGCAUGAUGGUGAAUAUAGAACUGAUAUGUAUUUGUAUAUGUAAAAUCAGAAAUUUUCUUUACCUUUUCUCUACAGUUCUUCACACUCUGAUCUUUGUGGUUUACAGGAAGAGUAUACAAUAGGAGAUGAAGUUGGGAGGCUACACUGUGAGCACACAUACCAUGUGAAGUGUGUGCAAGAGUGGUUGCGGAUGAAGAGUUGGUGCCCAAUCUGCAAAGCCACUGCCGAAACUUCCUCUAAAUAACUGUCUUCUUCUUCUUCCUCGUUCGUUGUAUUAUUUAUUUCAUCUAAAGCCUGUGAACAACAAUGGAACCUGCCUAGAAAGGGCCUCACCAUUUCCUUUGUGUACAUACCAAUUCACACCGGCUCUGUCUCUCUUUCUAUAUUCCUUUUGUCUAAUGACAAAGCUAUCCUGUGUUUCUCUUCGUCUUUUCACCUGUUUCCUGUUGAUUUCCGUAAUGUAAAGUGGGAAAGGCGGAAAAUAUGUCAUUUGAACUUUGAAGAUUAAGAAAACGUCAUCUUGAAUUCUUAAACUUGGACAAUUUGUUGAAAAACAACAAAGAGCGUGCGUGGUUCUUUGGAUCUCUGGACUUGUGGGAAAACUUAAAAAGACAUUCAAAGAAGAAAAUGGAGUCGCCUUCUGCAUAUUUUCAAAGUAAAAGCCAAAGGUUUCCCAAAAAAGAGAGCAACAAUUACUGUUGGAUAGACUGAGAAGCCGAAAGCAGAAUCAUCACGGGAUUUAGAAUCUGAGAAUUUCAUGAUUCUCCAUAGCGAGAGUAUAAUACAUUUUCCCAUUUGUAAUUCAGCUCAAGUAUUACUUGAUAGGAUCAUCUGAAACAGUUUAUGUCAAUACCUUGUAGGGUAAAAGAAACAAGUAAGAAAACCAACCAGUAGAAUGUAAAAAUGAGGCAAUUCACUGAUUUUGAAAAUAACUUUUUCACUGAAAUGAGGUAACAAAAAUGUAAAUGUAAAUGUAAAAGUGAUGUCAAUGUGUCUUCAAGAUAUAAAUUCUAAAACAAUUCUAAGACUAUGUUACAUACAGAGCAAUACUGCAACUAUUACGUGAUUGUUUGUACCUUGCUCUUGCCUAAAACCCACAGUAUCUCAGCCAAAACUUUCUCUUGAUUUCCUUAUCGGCCUGCGUUUACACUCAAAGCUUGAAACUCGCUGGAAUGGCCAGAUUUCUUUUGAUCUUACAACAACACGUAUUCAUUCAUAUCUACUAACCUGCCCCGAGUCUGCGGCUCCAGGACAUAGUUGGGUCAAUCAGCCAUCAGGUCCAUCAUGGGAUACAGAGCUCAAGAAUUGUUUUCUACCAAAAUCAGUGGCCAGUCUUUUUGGACCAGAGAGCUUACUCAGACAAUUUGCAGCAUCCAAUAUGCCUAACCAUUUUCUUUCACACCCCUUCUCGUUCCUCGAAUGAACAUAUGGAAAUUCUUUCCCGUAGCAAUGGCCAGUCUUCACCAAGUUGAUGCGGAUUUAGCUCCAUUGCAACUCUAAAAUCAAGCAAAGACACUGAAUGUUGUUCUUGCGUUAUGUCAGAUGGUUGGUUGCUAGUUUGUAUGUGCAAACUAUUACUCGUCCGCACCCCAUUUACAAGCUCGUCUCGGCUCUGCUGUUUGUCUAAACUUUGUUUUCCAGGCGUUCCAUUCAUGGACCGAGCUCCAGCCAAAUCAACGCAUGAUUUCAUUAGUUUCUUCAGGUACAAGUCCAACAUGUUAUUUAAAACAGUAGAACACUCCGCGGAAACCCCUCCAAGACCCUGUGCUACUGCAAUAUUCUCCAUCCUCUUCCUCAGCAUCUCUGUGUCUGACAAUCCACCACUGUCAUAGCAACUGAUAGCAUCUGCGCUGGUCGAAAUUGGAACUGUUCUGCGAUCCCCACCGACACUAGCCGAGCAGAAUGGGAUCCCCAGAGGUGCAACUACAGGAGGCAUGGAAAGAAUCAAACUACCUCGCUCUUCUUGGGCUUCAUCAUCCCUGCUAAGAGGAGCUGCAACCUGACCUUUACCCGAAUCCCUCUUUUGUUCAGCAGGGCAAAGAAAUGCACUGUCUCUUUCAUCAGCAUAGCGACCUGAUCUUUGAUAAGCAAAAGGACCCGAAUCCCUGUUCUCCGUGUUACUAUUACCGGUUCUGUCAACCUUUCCGUUUGGCCCUAGUGGACAAGGCUUAUCUCUGAUUGUACUGUCACACGUUCCAAACCGAACGUUGGGUAACACCCCAUUUGAGCAAACAGGAUCAUUCCUACUAUGGUCAGGAAUUAGAGGUCCGCUUUGUUCAGGUCCAUCCUCUUUCCCAAGCACCAAAGAUUUGCCAGGGUGACCGGUUUGGUGACCUGGUGGUGGGGACUUAGCCAGAGACGCAUUUCUCAAGAUGGAACGAAUCAACUUGUUGUGUAGAGAAAGAUUCUCUCUCCCCAAAAGACGGAAACAUGACUUAUCAAACUCACUCUUAGUAAGCUUCUGACUCAGAAACCUGCCCAAAUAGUAAAAAUACCUUCUAGAUCUUUCAACCCCAAUCUUCUUCACUAUAUGCACUUUCAGGUCAGCUAGAUCAACCCUGGGAUCUUGAAGACGUUGCAUACUUGUUUCUUCUUCUUCUUCUUCUUCUAAAACCGAAACCAGAUGAAACAGUCAGAGGAGUGCACAAAAUGCACCCUCUCAGCUUCUAGUUAUCCUUCACACAAACAAACCCAACUCAUCAACGUAUUAUUUCUCAAACUCAAAUCCAAGAGCAUUUCAAGAACUCAGCUGCAGCUUUUAGUACAGGCCACUCCAAUUGCAUCCAAAAGCUCUUUCAUUUUCCCAAACGACCCAGAAUUCGUAAAUCUCAUGUUCCCAAAACCAAAACCCUAGAGAUCAUUAUCUACUAGCCAGCUUAUACCAAGAACCUUAAAAUUCAACCUCGGCUGAUUCAGUAUCAGAAUGGAUUAAAAACCCUAGCUUGGAGUCAGCAAAUCAAUCCAUCAAGAAGGAAGAACCACCAACUAACCGUUUCUCCAAGUUCACGAGCGAGUAAGAAGACGAAACUGAAUCAGAGCAGAAAAACCCAAGCAUUUUUUGCUUCACGCCCAAUUCGGAAGCUAAGAACUUGAGAAUUUCCGAAAUUUGAGUUGGAGAAAAUCGAGAUCAGUGGAGUUGGACAAAUGAUUGGAGCUUUGAGAACAGAGCACCAGAUUCGAAUUGCCUAAAGAAAAAGAUGAAAUUCGAAUUGAAGAAGGAGGAAGCGGGCAAUGAGAAGCGGGACCCAAGCUUGGAAGCAGAAAAACAAGUGUUGGAAGAUUGAUUUAGAGUAGGAAAGAUUUGACCAGAAUUCAGACACGAAAACAAAAUCGGAACAUAACAAGUAACUUCCCAGAGUUCCGACACCAACCCAAUGAUUUCUCGGCUCCUUAAUAAUAAUAAUACACUUCUGCUUCGAUUGAAUCUUGCUGGCUUCUUGUUUCGUAUUGCUGCUUUUCAGAUUUGAAUGUCCGAGCGCUUUCGCUCUUGUGUGUUUGUUUAUUAGCUUCGAUCGCUGCUUAUUGGGUUUUGUUGUUCGUUUUUCUUCACUUUUGUUUCUGUCUGUUUUUUUUUUUUUUUUUGUUUCUCUCUCUCUCACUCUCUGUCUUGAUAAAAUUUGGUUUAUUGGGUUUCUUCUUUUCGCUCGUUAUUGCUUUUGUACUUUCGACUAAAUCGAGUUUGAUGUAAGAAAUUCUGUAACAACAAUAGAUUAAACCCAUUUGAUUUAUUCAUCUUGCAAUGUUCUGAUCUGAGUGAUCUCAUCUAAUAUCGGAUCAUGUCAGAAUUUCUUUACUUGAUACAAGUGACAAUUUAUUUACAAGAUUAAAGAUGAGUGUUAGUACUUGAGAUUUCCCCCAAAUAUUAGGUGUUGGCUUUUUGGUCAAGUAAAAAGAUUUUAAAAUUUGGCGUUGAACAAAAGAAAAAGAGUUUCAAUAUGGAAUUUGCAAACUACAAAGCUUCGUCAGCUGGAACAAAACCAAGCUUCAAACUUACAACAUUAAACAUUAGAGAUUCAGACAAAUGAAAGAAAAAACAGAGACACAAUUCCACAUAACUCGACAAGACAUAUCCUCCUAACUCAAAUACUACAAGAAAACCUACAAAGAUUACCAAGUGACAAAGACCAAACACAAACAGAUGUGGGAUUCAAUCUAAAAGAGAUGUCACAUAAUCCUACCUCAUAAUACUCUCCUACUGCAUUGUGUUUGUUGUGUACAGCUCAUCUUACAGAGUUUAUUUGGCCCGUCCUUUGCCUCGACCUCCUCGGCCUCUUCCUCUCCCCCGCCCUCUUCCUCUUCUGCUGUAUGCCAAGACCUUCGUAGUUCCCGGGCUGCUACUUGCUGAGUUUGAGUUCGGUAGAGACUGGUCUCCUGGGAGCCACUCUUCUUCAUGAGUGCUUGAACUGUUAUGCGAGCCACUUGAGUGGCUGUCAUUGUUUUCGUUAUUAAUUGCACCAUCUGAGCCAUUCCCUACUGUCAUAUCAUCACCAUGAAUUUCAGCUACAGGCUGAGAAGCCUCGGUUUCUUCUGGUGGUGUGGGUUUUGGUUGACCUUCCACCACUGGUGAACUGAAAAAGUAAGGCUUUGCUUAGUAUGAAAUAAUAUCAUCAUGUCAAACUAGACAGACAAAUGAGGUGGAAGGUGAACUGAAAAAGUAAGGCUUUGCUUAGUAUGAAAUAAUGUCAUCAUGUCAAACUAGACAGACAAAUGAGUUGUUUUUUCACCUAGGUGAUGAAGAUGGGAAACCGUUAAAAGUAGCACGUGAUGCGCCUAUUUCAUCAGCUUCUUUUGAUGUUUCAAACACAUCUUUAGGGAUGCAAGAAGAGUUCCCAGUUGGAUCCAAAGUUGCCCCAAGAGCCAAGACAGCUGCAUUAAUAGGAACGCAAGUAAUUUAAGAGAACCCAACUAAACAUCAUCCAGCACCAAAGGAAUUCAACAUACCAUGUAUACCAUUUGUGGUGUUUCCGAUAGUAGAGCUAGGUUGGAUAAAAUCGCCAUCUUGAUCAUUGAAGUCAUCUACAGCGGUUCCACUGUCACAUACAGUUGAGAAACUUCAGAAGAUUGAUAUACUAAAAAAUGGAUCUGUCGAAAAGAAACAAGUUACAAUCUGUGUUGGAAGGAUAAGCACAAUAAAAAGAACCUUUGAGGAGCGGUAUUUGUAUCUUCAGACGGCUUGACUCCUUGUGUGGAGAUAAAUGUCUCGUCCAAACCAACUCCACCUAAUCAGAACACAUUAAAUUCAUGAGACAGAGUAUAAAAAUCGAAUAUUAGAGAGUGUAUACAAAUUAAGGAUUAAGGGAGAAACUAACAAGAUCUAGUAUGUAAAACUCCUGUUUCUCCGACGGCUAGAUUAGCUUCCGUAGUCUUCACUCAAGUAAAACACAUAAGGACACCAAAAAAAGAAAAGAUUGGAACUGCAAGUUUCUUCUUGGUAUAGAGAGACACAUAGUGUAAAGAGUGCUUGAUACCUGAUUGUGUUCAGAGGUAGGUAUGGCUGAAUUUGGUAGAGCUCUGCUUUGUUCAUACCGUACAGCUGAAAGAACAGAAAAAAAAGAGUUACUCAUGUGACCAGAGCCGAAAAUACUUUCAGUUUCAUCUCAUGUCUUACUGAAAAACUUCGACCACAUGUAAAUAAAGAAAGAAAAAAAUACCUCCAUCAGCAUUCAAAGACGAAGCAUUUCCUUUGAGCAUAUCAGUCGCUAAAACAUAGGGGCUGUAUUUAGGUUCCAAAGAGGCUACACUACUAGGACUUUUAAGCAUUUCCUCUGUUGCUUUAGCUCUGACUUUGCGAAUUUCAUCUUGAAUAUUCCAUGAUUGAUUAGAACCGGACUUCCUUUUCAGCUGCAUUUUGGUAUUAAAUGUCAGAAUGGAUAAGGGUAAAUUUGAGAGAGCCAUUCAAAAUACAUAAUGGUAUGCAACUUUUCUUUAGGAAAAGCUGGAAAUAGUGUCCCACAAAUUCCUCGUGGUUAUCUAACAUAAACAAUAGAAGUUAAGCAGAGAAUUUUAUCUUAUAAACCAAGGUAAAACAACUUCAGACUUUCAAACAACAUUUGACCAUAAGAAAAGUAUGCACUGCUGGAAAACUUAAAAUUCUAACCUUAGAUGAGGAAAAGUUUCCAGCGCUAUAAGGAAAGGGUGUCCCUUGCAUUCCUGCUGAUGAUGGUGAUCGAAACUCUGCUGGAGAUCCCCAUGGCAGACGAGCUCGCAUGUAAGACUUGGCCACGUCCACAGGCGAUCCAGCACCAUCUUCAGUUGCCUAGAGAAUUAAACUAAUGGCUGAGAUGGUGAUCAUCAUUUAAAGCACAAUGGAAAAGAAACACAUAUGGCGGAAUAAUGUGAAGCAAAGCUAUCAGAAGUUGACCGAAAUCAUGUGAGCAAAUGGUCUUCAUAGUAAAAAAAAAAGAGCAACAAUAUGGAUCUUUUGCAUUUUAAGCGGACAAAAAAGUAGUUUCCAAUCAGGACAUUUCAGGAUUAAUGUCACCAGAUGGCCACACUCAAAAUUCUAAACAACCUACUUUUGCAAGAGAGCUUUACGUUGCUGAUCACAUGGAGUGGCAUAGAACAAUAAAAUCAUUUUACACAAACAGAAGAUGUCUCCUUCUAUAAUAACAAUGGCUUAGAGCACAGAGACAGAUAUCACAAAAAAGUACAAACCUGCAGGCUGCAGCAAUAUGGAACAGUUAAGAAGAGUUAGAACUUACUGUAUACUUUGAACUUGAUCCUGAUUUCUUUUCCUCCAACCAUUUUCUUGCUUCCAUGACAGUUGUAUUGGACAUUUCACCAACAUUCACAUCUAGAAAUAGAACAGAAAAGACGUUAUCACAUUGACUAAUCCGGUCUGCUUGCACAGUCUACCAUCAGUUACAUACCACUUGUCAAUCCAUUGUCAUUAUGCCUCCCCUCAACAGCAGAGGGGACACUAGGAUGAUCGACAACCCUAGCCUUGAUGAUAUCUAUUAAUCUAUCACCCUCUUCCCUGGAACAACAUACACAUGAAUGAAUAAGCAGGAUACAAGAUCAGCUUAGAUUUGUUAACUAAACAAAUAUCACAAAGAUUCUUUUAAGCUAAGAGCUGUAAAUAUUAAAUAAUAAGACUCGCGGAAGAGGCUGCAACUUAUGAUGUCCAGAAAGCCAGACAUAGAGAAAUACCUUGCAAAUGUUUCUUGCAUGAGAAGCUGCUCAAUUACACGCUUAGAACUGAGUCGUUGGAUGGUUGGUUGCUGGGCAGUCAGAAGGUCCUAUUCACACAAGCACACAUCAAAUUCACUCCACAAGUUCACAUAAACUGAAAUCAUGCUUUCAUCAAAAAACUUUUAGUUGAAAACGUGUUAGAACUUUACUUCUACAAAAUCAGGAUCACAUUACAAUUCAUACACAUACUAAAAAGGCGAAAGGUGACUCAGUACAAAACUAGCAGAAAAAUAAUCAAUCUUUAGCAACACCAUAAUCCACUGCGGCUACAGAGCAGAAUCAAUCAUAAGAAUAAUGAAUUCAAACAAAUAUCUAGAACUACAGUGGCAGAGCAAUCACCAAAACGAACAAGGUGGUUAGUACCUCUUCAGUAAAAUCGGUAAUGGUCUUCUCAACAUCCUCAUCACCAUCAAUAUCUGCACACAAAGAGGUUAACAUGUAAAAAUCCGUACUUUAAAAGAAUAAGACACAAAGCUGGUCGGGUCGGUUCUAUUAAUUCCAGAACUACUUCAUAUGCAAACCAAGGAAGAGAACGGGUCGACCUAAUCCCAGAACUACAUUAUAUGCAUAAAAAUUAGAGCUUUAGAAUUAGUAUGAAGGUUAUAGCUUUAGAAGUAACCUAACUAAAUAGAGUAGAGUAGUAAUUCACCACUGCUUAACUGCUAUUAAGUCCCACAUAUCAAAGGAAAGAGAAAAUGGGAAAGCUUUAAAUCAAAAUUCACAUUUCAAAUGAAACGGUAGGUUUCAGAUUCGAACAGAUAAUAAACCAAAAAUUCAAAUGAAUCAUAUCUAAACCCAAAUAAAUUGUACAAACCUGAAGAUGAAUCCUCGUCCUCCUCCGAAGACGAGGAAGAGUCGGAGAAGACGACGGAAGAAAUGAAUUUUCCGGCGCCGGAGGCAAUUACGCUGGCGGGUUUGUAAACGAGCCUGGAGAUCCAACUAGGGUUUUGCUGAGGAGGAUCUCGGGAUCUCGGAACGGGGCGGUCAUACGGCGUCCUGACGGCGGCGGUGCGUCGUGGUCGAACAAUUUUUCCUCCGGUACGAGGCUGACCUACUCCGGCGGGGUAACCGGAGACGGAAUCCAUGGUGAAAGUGAGAGGAGGAGGAGGGAGAAGUUCGUUGAAGGAAAUAAUGAAGUGUUGGGGAAAAUUGGUAAUUUCUCGUUAUUUGUCGUCUUCUUGUUUUUUUUUUUAAUUGGGGGUGAAAGGUUAGUUUCCUAAAUUACAGGCCUGCGGUUAAAAUUUGCUUCCACCAAUAAAAUUAGGCAAAAAAACAAAACAUUCCGACUAUAAAAAAAAAUUAACUGUAGUGUAUAAUCAUGUAUUAUAUAUUCAUUUGUUUUCAUAUUUUGAAAUUUGAACAAUGUACAUGACGUAGAAAAAAGAAAAAAAUAAGAGAGAGAUUAUAAUUUGGAAAAAAAAGUCAUGAUAGAACGAAGUAAUUAAUAAAGUUGUAAAAAGUUAUUUCAAAAAUAAUAUUUAAACAAUUUAAAUUAAAAUUUGGUUUUUAGUUUAUUUUUAUUUGCACCGAAUGGUACUUACUGUAAUUCGUCAACUACUGUAUGUCAGUGUUAAAAAAAGCUAAAAUAAUGGGCCCAAUGGGCUAUAUUAAUAUCGGGUCAAGGACGGGUCAGAAACAACCCGAUCGGAUCUAAAAUGGGCGCCUUCUUUUUCAUUUUGAUGGCAAUCAAUCAAUCGACGCUUCUUUAGAGACAAACGCAAUCGCCGAUCCAUUUACGAGCCGUCGUCGCUUUACACAUAUCAACAAUCCUUAUCCUCCAGUUUCCAUUUCUAGAUCGAUCGAGAUUGAAGGAGAGAAGAUGCCUGGUUUAACAUGUAACGCGUGUAACAUGGAGUUCAAGGACGAAGAAGAGCGUAACCUUCAUUACAAAUCCGAUUGGCACCGCUACAAUCUCAAGCGCAAGGUCAAUUUUCUGCUGUUUUCUCUAACCCAAUUUGACCUCAGACUAUUUUUGUAUACUUUUUCCAUUUUGCUGUCGAAAUGAUUUGUUUUAAGGUUAUAGAAUCGUUCUCUUGCAGGGGAAGAAAGUCUCUAGAUUUUAUAUGAAAUCUUGAUUUGAAGCUUAUCAUAGAUUUGGUUUCUUGUACGCAUUUGAAUCUUUUUGUAUUUAUGGAAUUUUUGUUGUUAGGUGGCUGGAGUUCCUGGAGUUACAGAAGCCUUGUUUGAGGCUAGACAAUCUGCUCUUGCUCUGGAGAAGAAUAAAUCAAAUGAAGCUCCUAUGCUUUAUACUUGUGGAAUCUGUGGUAAAGGUUACAGGAGUUCCAAGGCUCAUGAGCAGCAUCUUCAGUCCCGGAGCCAUGUUUUGCGGGUUUCACAAGGCCCAUCAAUCAACGGAGAGGAGGAUAUAGCGAUUAUCAGGCAACUUCCUCGCCGUGUUCAACACAGGGGUUCCAUUGAUGAUGAUAGUGAAGAUGAAUGGGUGGAGGUUGAUUCUGACGACGAAUUGGCUGCUGAAGAAGCCUCACAUUCGUUGUCUAAGUUGAAUGUGAUUGAGUCAGGAUCUGCUGAAGAUAUGGAUGAUGAUGGUGAUGCAGACAAGUAUGAGCUGGACCCAACCUGCUGUUUGAUGUGUGACAAAACCCAUAAGACCUUAGAGAGCUGUAUGGUUCACAUGCAUAAGCACCAUGGUUUCUUCAUUCCCGAUAUCGAGUAUCUCAAGGAUCCUGAAGGGCUUCUCACUUACCUCGGUCUCAAGGUUUGGACUCAUCAAUUUACCAUUCACUGUUCGUUGUUGUCAAGCUUUCAAUUUCUUACUCCUAUUUACUUAUACAUGGCUCAUCACUCAGGUCAAGAGAGACUUCAUGUGUCUAUACUGCAAUGAGCUGUGCCGUCCAUUCAGCAGCUUAGAAGCUGUAAGAAAGCAUAUGGAAGCAAAGAGUCAUUGCAAACUGCAUUAUGGUGAUGGUGAUGAUGAUGAAGAUGCUGAACUAGAAGAGUUCUAUGACUACAGCAGCAGGUUUCAACUCUCUUGUAUCUUUGAUUUUUCUUGUUCUCACCUCUAUUCCUCUUUCUAUGCCAAAUCUUAAUGCACCUUCCAUUGGAAUCUAUGAAUUGAGCAGCUAUGUUGAUGAAGCUGGGAAGCAGAUUGUUGUAGCUGGUGAAACAGACAACACUGUAGAACUUGUUGGGGGUUCUGAGCUCCUGAUCACGGAGAAUUCCGAGAACACAAAAACGUCUAAAACUCUCGGGUCCCGUGAAUUCAUGCGUUACUACAGACAGAAGCCACACCCAACUUCUCAAAACAGCAGCCAGAUAAUGUCCUCUUUAUCUUCAAGGUUUGUUUUCUCCAAACCCAUUAGUCAUCCAAACCUAUUAAACUAGCGAAUCGGCAAGUUAAUUUAAGGUUAUUCUCACAAAUGGCAAAUUCUCAGGUACAAGAGUCUGGGUCUGAAGACGGUACCGUCAAAAGAGGAGACAUUGAGGAUGAAAGUGCGCAAGGAGAUGAGUCAGAGAGGUGAGACAAUGCGUACCAAGAUCGGAGUGAAGAGUAAUGUCAUCAGAAACUUGCCCAAUAAUGUCCCAUAUUAGUUUCUGUCUAUUGUCUAGUGUUGGAUUGAAUGAUGAUUUCAUGUACUUUGAGUCUUUGACCAAGUUGUGUUGGUACUUUGGUAAUAAGAGUUAGCUUUAAACAGAGUAUGUUCACUGAAAUAGAAAAUGUUAAAAUUGCUACACGAACGUUGACUUCUGAUUUACUCUCAAUAUCUACAUUGUUCAGAGAUGCAUGUAAAACAAAGAAGAGACCACGACAAAGGGUACUACAAUAUCCCAAAAAGGCUUUUAGUUUUGUUUUUGUACAAAGGCUGUGGCUGCGAGUAAUGUCACAAGACAAACCUAAAAUAAAUUUAUGUGUAGAAGGAAAAAGAAGAGAGAGAGGUCCAAAACCAAGAACACUGGCUACGAAUAGGUUGGUCUGCUUCAUUCGCUUCGCUUCAUUUUCCAGCUGACUGAGAAAGAAAAGAAACAUAAGAGAUCCACAAGAAGAUAGUACCAAAAGCAUAGAAACAGAAAGUUAAUUACCUAAUUUUCAUAGAAGCGGGUUCGACGCCUUCUUGAACUGCAAACCAGAAAAAAUAUGGCAUCAAGCAAUGUUUCUUAAGUAACCAUCAUAUAUAGCACAAUAAAGCUACUAAACCAGGUCAACACCCUGAGCCACUAUGCCAGAGAUAUCACACAAUAGGACCUGAUUUCGUCAUUUAACCUGGCUCACCGGUAAGCCUCUAAUAUCAAUGCAGAAUAAUCAUAUACUAUGAAACUAAGAAUGUACAUCUCUGCAGAACGAAACAGUAACAAAUUAGUGGUGUAAAGCAAUAGAUGGUUCUGACCUUUGGUGCAUAGAGCUACUUCUGUUAGCUCCACUUGUGCUGAUGAACUCAUCAUCGAUCUCAUCUACUCUAUACUCCGGGAACUCUAUGGAUGCUACUGAGCUGUCAUCAGAGUUGGAGUUUUCAUAGCUAGAGCGGCGACUCCCUCUCCUGCUCUCGCUCAUUCUUGAUCUUCUUCGAUUCCUGGCAUUCCUUAUAUUGUCAAACAUUUGGUACAGAAUACAAGAGGUCCACCAGUUUCCUUCAUUGUUAGGAACAUCCUCAAAUUCAUCUCCAGUGUCAUCAUCUCCAUAUUCGAUCACAUAGUCCCCUAAAACCACUCCUCUUGGAACUUCGGAGUGAAUUGUGCUCAACACGUCGAUUAUUUCAGACGACUGCUGGAAAUUCUCCCAAUCAAGCUUCCGUGCUGGAUCAAUUUCUGAAGGACGAGAAUCCGGAUGCUCUGACUGAGCAUGUUUGCGAAGCUCCAAGUAAGUACCCAUAAACCUGCAUCUUUCUUCCUCACAGCAACGUUUUUUCUCAUCAAGACGGACACGGGCUUCUUCUACAACAAGCCAGCCAGUAACUUCUCCUCUACACAGUGGACAAACGGGUUUGCAACUCUCUUCUAGAACCUUAGAGCGAGGUUCAUCAGGGGCUGGAGGUGAAUCAGUACCACAGGCGCUAAUGAAACGAUCCAAACAGUUAGAGUGAAGGUGAUCAGUAUUGCAGACAAAAGCACGGCAGCCGUUUUCGUAAGAAGAACACUGGAGAAGCACACCAUUGUGAGGGAAAUCCAAACAAAUGGGACAAGUUAAAUCAUCCCAAUUGAGAGUCAACUGAAACUCUUGGCUACAAAAGGUCUUAGCUUGAAGCCGCUUUUCACAAACAUGUAGUUCCAGAGCCAUAAGAUCCGCAAAGGAAACAGAUUAUUCCAACUUAUCGGGAAGGAACUAAGUAUCUAUAAUCAGCAACCCUUGAUGGAAGAAAUCAUUUCCCCGGAAUCUGUUACUUGAUAGUAGCUGCAUAUAUGCAUGUAAAUAAGUAUCCACAAUCUUAAAUCUGCUGCAAAAAUAUGAAUGUAAAAAGACAAUUCGAUAAAUGAUAAAACCCCAAAACCAAUACGAUUCAGUCGCUGGUGAAACACGAAGAACCCAAAAGAGAGUGAGAAUCGGAUUCAAAAUCAAACAAUUUUUAGAAAACCGAUCGCAUAAUCAAGAGCAGAAGAACCCUAGCCAAAUUAGAAACGACAGAUCCAAAUCACCGAAUUGGUAAGCAGUAAGCAAACGAAAUCGAAGAAAAAGAGAACGAAAUCGAAGAAGCUGACCUGAGAUUGAAAGUUACAAAGGAAGUGGAAGAAGGGCGAUGAUGGGGUUUGCUUGUGGGGAUAGUGUAUCGCAGUUGGUAGCCUCCUUUUUCUCUCUCUCUCCUACUCUCUCUCAAUCCCCAUAUCCAUUUUUACCUUUUCAAUACAUUAUUAGAGCUAUUUUUAAUAUCAUUAAUAUUAUUAUCUAAAAUAUUAUGUGACGACUUUUUACUUUCGAGUUUCAAGUAAUAAAAUAUGCUACAGGUUAGUCUUUCAAAAAAAGUACAUAUAAGGUCCGAAUGGUAACCGCGGUUUUUGUUGUGCGGAGAAAGCGGUAUGACAGUGCGGUACGGUUCAACUGCGGUACGUGCGGUAUGCGGAACAAAUGCGGUUUUUGUAAAUAAGCGGUACGAAAUAAUGUUUGAUUGGUAAAAAACAAAAAGCGGUGCGGGAUAUACAUUGUAGUUAAAUAAUUUUAAUUAAACAUUCAAAUAUGUAUAUAUAUAUAUAUAUAUAUAUUAAAUAAAAAAUUUCAUAAUAAACAAUAUGAUACAACAGAAAAAUAUUUUUCGAAUAUUUUUUAACUAAUUAUUUAAAUACAUGUGGUUUUUUAUAAAUAUUUUAAGUAUUUAAACAUAAUUUAAAUAAAUAUGGUGAUACAAUUAUAUAUCAUAUAUUUGAAAAAACCAAUAUGACAAAGAAAUAAAACAAACCAAAAAUAACAUGUAUAAUUAAAUAAAUGGUUAAUACAAGUUCUAUUUUUUAAAUUACACAUAUCUCUAUAGACUGUAGAUACCACAUAACGCAAACACAUCAAAUAGGAUGUGAAUUUACUGUAGCGGGCCAACUACAAUAUUUACAAACAAAAUUGAACCGCACUCACAACCCAAAAAAUAAAAAGAAACGUCCCGCACUUGUAAUAUUUUGUUGAUUGGUAACAUAUCAAUGGGUCCCAUGAAAAACGUCCCGCAGUUCUGAAAUCCGCCGUCUCCAUUCACCCCCUAAAUUUGAAUAUUUGAUUUGCAGCUGAUGACUGGAAAAUAUUUUAUUGUGAUUUAUGAGAAGAAAAUUUCCUACAUCUGAUUUAUAAACUUUUGUUUGUGGUUUAUUUAAUAGGGUUUGUUAGAAUUAUUUGAGCUAUAAUUUUCAAUUCUAUAUCGAGUAAAAAUGAUUUUACUUUAUAUUUGUUAACUAUUGUCUGAGUAACAAAUAUUUUGAUUUAGGAAAUAAAUCAACAAAUUCAUCUUGCAAGCUUUGACUAGUUUUUAUUGUUUUUCUUAUGCUUUUUUUUUUAAUUGGUUUGCUUGAAUAUCAAAUUAUCGAAAUUAAGCAAAACUUCUUUUUUUCCACUUUCUUAUUAAACUCGUUAAAAUAAAAAUAAUAAUAAAUUUUUGACAAACAAAAGAAGAUUGGAAUUAAAAAUUCUAAGUUUGUUGUAUUUGACAGUUAUUUCUUAGUGGAGUAAUAAUUCCCAAAAACAAACAAAAGAUAAAGGGUAAAAACGAUCGCUAAAAUAGGGUCCGGGUAACCAGCCCAUUAAUUCAAAUUGGGCUUAACUUAAGGCCCACGUGAAAUAAAUGGAAACUAGAAAAAAGGAAAGUUAUGUUAACUAAAAAAAGGAAACUAGGCGUUACAAAAAAAAAAAAGGAAAUCAGCCAGCUGGCACCGCCGUGAGUAGUGUUUUAUAAAAAGGGGAAAGCUUAUCAGAGAGAGUCAGAAUUUGUUUUGCCUUCUUCUUUCUCUGUUUGUCAUAUUUCUCUCGAUCGCUAUAUCAUAACAUCAUAACGGAAGACGAUUUGUAGAAUGUAAGAAUUCUUCCGAUUCUCUUGAUUUCUAGGGUUGUUUUAUAUUUUAACUAUUAAUCAGUUCUUUCUCUGUUUCGCAUGUUUCUCUCUAUCGGAUCAUUCAUGAUCGAAGAAGUUUUGUAGCGAUAAUCACUGUAAGAAUUCUUCUCUCUUGAUUUCUAGGGUUACUAAACUUCAUUAUUAUCAGUUUUUUUUUUUUGUUCUGUUCUUUUGGUUUUCUGUUCGUUUUGAAGCGGCUUGGAUAAUUUGAAAACCAAACGAAUCGCGACUCUGCGUUUCAAAGUUUUCUGAGAAUUAUUACAAGUUCGUUCUUCUUCUUUUUUUGUGUUACUUGAUUCUGUUUAAGAGGGUUUGGUUUCCGUUUUUUGUUUUGCUUUUGUAGCGCUUUCGAUACUUUGAUAAAGCGUGAAAUUGUUGCGAUCGGUUGUGGUUUAUUGCUCUGCGUUUUUCUGUUUUGUUUUUGUUAGAUUUCUUCCUUGUUUUGUUUUUUUUUCAAAAUCCAAGAGAGAUCAUAUGCAGACACUCAACUAUUAGUGUUCUGUCAGAUUCUUUCUUGGGGACAUUGUCCCGUCGAGUUGGCUUAUGAGGGAUUUUUGACCUGAGACUGAAAACCGAUCCUUUACCCACGGCUUAUUAUUUUGACAAAUAUACUUGGGAUUGGUUUCAGGUUACUGGUCAAAGAUCAAGUUACCCACGGCUUAAAAAAGUCUUUAGACAGAGACUUGAGUUUCCAAAAAACCAAUCCUUUAGACAAAACACUGGAUUGGGUUAUGUUUGGUGCAAGGAAAAUGGUACCAUACGGCUUAAAACUUUAGCCUUUAGACUGAGACUUGAGACUGAACAUUGAUCCUUCUUGGUACCCACGGCUUGAAAAUCUCUAGACAUAUGGAUCAUGUUCGGUUUCUUGUUUCAGUCUAUAGACAAAGAAAUAGUUACCCACGGCUUAAAAAAAGUCUUUAGACAGAGACUUGAGGUUCUAAAAACCAAUCCUUUCGACACAAGAUUGGAUUGGGUUAUGUUUGGUGGAAUGAAAAUGGUACCCACGGCUUCAAACUUUAGUCUUUAGACUGAGACUGAUUCUGAACUUUGAUCCCUUCUUGGUACCCACGGCUUUAAAAUCUUUAGACAUAUGGAUCAUGUUUGGUUUCUUGUUUCAGUCUUUAGACAAAGAACAGUUACCCACGGCUUAAAAAGUCUUUAGACAGAGACUUGAGGUUCUAAAAACCAAUCCUUUAGCCAAAAGAUUGGAUUGGGUUAUGUUUGGUGGGAUGAAAAUGGUACCCACGGCUUCAAAAUUUAGUCUUUAGACUGAGACUGAUUCUGAACACUGAUCCUUCUUGGUACCCACGGCUUGAAAAUCUCUAGACAAUAUGGAUCAUGUUCGGUUUCUUUUUUCAGUCUUUAGACAAAAAAAUAGUUACCCACGGCUUAAAAAUUGUCUUUAGACAGAGACUUGAGGUUCUAAAAACCAAUCCUUUAGACACAAGAUUGGAUUGGGUUAUGUUUGGUGGAAGGAAAAUGGUACCCACGGCUUCAAACUUUUGUCUUUAGACUGAGACUGAUUCUGAACUUUGAUCCCUUCUUGGUACCCACGGCUUGAAAAUCUUUAGACAUAUGGAUCAUGUUUGGUUUCUUGUUUCAGUCUUUAGACAAAGAACAGUUACCCACGGCUUAAAAAAGUCUUUAGACAGAGACUUAAGGUUCUAAAAACCAAUCCUUUAGCCAAAAGAUUGGAUUGGGUUAUGUUUGGUGGAAGGAAAAUGGUACCCACGGCUUCAAACAUAAGUCUUUAGACUGAGACUGAUUCUGAACAUUGAUCCUUCUUGGUACCCACGGCUUGAAAAUCUCUAGACAUAUGGAUCAUGUUCGGUUUCUUUUUUCAGUCUUUAGACAAAGAAACAGUUACCCACGGCUUAAAAAAGUCUUUAGACAGAGACUUAAGGUUCUAAAAACCAGUCCUUUAGACACAAGAUUGGAUUGGGAUAUGUUUGGUGGAAGGAAAAUGGUACCCACGGCUUCAAACUUUUGUCUUUAGACUGAGACUUAUUCUGAACAUUGAUCCCUUCUUGGUACCCACGGCUUGAAAUGUUUUAGACAUAUGGAUCAUGUUCGGUUUCUUGUUUCAGUCUUUAGACAAACAUCAAGUUACCCAUGGCUUAAAAAAGUCUUUAGACAGAGACUUGAGGUUCUAAAAACCAAUCCUUUAGACAAAAGAUUGGAUUGGAUCAUGUUUGGUUAAAGGAAAAUGGUACCCACGGCUUCAAACUUUAAUCUUUAGACUGAGACUGAGACUGAACAUUGAUCCUCCUUGGUACCCACGGCUUUAAAAUCACUAGACAUAUGGAUCAUGUUCGGUUUCUUGUUUCAGUCUUUAGACAACAGUUACACACGGCUUUAAAAAUGACGUCUUUAGACAGAGACUUGAGGGACAAAACACUGGAUUGGGUUAUGUUUGGUGCUAGGAAAAUGGUACCAUACGGCUUAAAACUUUAAGUCUUUAGACUGAGACUUGAGACUGAACAUUGAUCCUUCUUCGUACCCACGGCUUGAAAAUCACUAGACAUAUGGAUCAUGUUUGGUUUCUUGUUUCAGUCUUUAGAUAAAGAAACACCCACGGCUUAAAACAUUAUAAGUCUUUAGACAGAGACUUAUAAUUUUAAACAAUGGAAACUUGUAUAAUAAAUAUACAAGACGAUGUUAAUCUAACCGGAUUUUGGAUCCCGUCAUUGAUCGUUAGCGAUUCCACAAAUUCAACUUGUUUUCACAUCCUUAUGUAGAUUUAGCAUACAAGUUUCUGUUGAAAAAAAUAAAUACAAGAUUCUUAUGUUGGUUGAUGGAAAAUGGUACCCACAGCUUCAAACUUUGGACUGAGACUUGAGACUGAACAUUGAUCCUUCUUGGUACCCACGGCUUGAAAAUUUAUAGACAUAUGGAACAUGUUUGGUUUCUUUUUUCAGUCUUUAGAGUUUAGAGCAUCCACAAUGGUGCAUGUGGGAGUAUGGGUGUGAGUGGUGAUUUAUUAAUAAAAUAAUGUAAGGGUGUGAAGAUUGAGUGCUGAUUUAUUAAUAAAAUAAUGUGGGAGUAUGGGUGUGAGUGGUGAUUUUUCUAUGUCAAAAAAUCGGAACCAACAAAACAAAGACACAUGUCCCUCACAACCGAGUGUAAACUAACACUCGAAUACCAACUCCAAACUUACUGUUCUCUUAUUUGUGUAUAUUUUAAUAGUCACACCCACACAAAAAAUAGAUCGUUGUGUAUGGUCUUAGAGAAAGAAACAGUUACCUACGGAUUAAAAAAGUCUUUAGACAAAGACUUGAGGUUCGAAAUAACCAAUCCUUUAGACAAAAGAUUGGAUUGGGUUAUGUUUGGUUGAAGGGAAAUGGUACCCACGGCUUCAAACUUUAGUCUUUACUCUGAGGCUUGAGAUUCGAACAUUGAUCCUUCUUGGUACCCACGGCUUGAAAAUCUGUAGACAUAUGGAUCAUCUUCGGUUUAUUUUUUCAGUCUUUAGACAAAGAAAUAGUUACCCACGACUUAAAAAAGUCUUUAGGCAGAGACUUAAGGUUCUAAAAACCAAUCCUUUAGACACAAGAUUGGAUUGGGUUAUGUUUGGUGGAAGGAAAAUGGUACCCACGGCUUCAAACUUGGAAAAUGGUACCCACGGCUUCAAACUUUUGUCUUUAGACUGAGACUUAUUCUGAACAUUGAUCCCUUCUUGGUACCCACGGCUUGAAAUUUUUUAGACAUAUGGAUCAUGUUCGGUUUCUUGUUUCAGUCUUUAGACAAACAUCAAGUGACCCAUGGCUUAAAAAAGUCUUUAGACAGAGACUUGAGGUUCGAAAAAAGCAACCUUUAGACAAAAGAUUGGAUUGAGUUGUGUUUAGUGGAAUGAAAAUGAUACCCACGGCUUGAUCUACAAGAUGAUGUUAAACUAACCGGAUUUUGGAUCCUGUCAUUGAUCGUUAGCGAUUCCACAAAUUCAACUUGUUUUUGCAUCGUUACGUAGAUUUAGCAUACAAGAAUCCAUUGAAAACAAAAAACAUACAAGUUUCUUAUAUUUUAAGAAAAGAGUUCCAAUUUGUUUCCAUACGUUUAGUUACGAAGCUUGUAAAAGGGUUCGUAGAUGUGUGGAUUAGUGUACAAUUUGUAUGAAUACAUGGUUCAAUUUUUAAGAUUAGAAAGAUCAGUUAGGAUCAAAGGAAGAUUAAAGGGGAUAAUGGAAGAUUCAAGAUUGAAAGCAGAAAAGGAGAGGUCAAUCAAAAUAAAAGAAUAUAUGUUGCUCUUUUUGUUUGUUAUGGGAUCAGCCAAUCAAUAUUUCACCCACUUGCUAAUAUGUAAAAGACAGACAAAAAGAGUAACAGUGAAGAUGAUGGUUGUGAUGUAAUGAAAUCUAUGCCGUUUAAGAAAAGAGAGUAUCAAUUAGCUGAGCUUUGUAAACUAAGAAUGAACAAGUUCCAAAAUAAUUAGAUCCAAAAGAUCUUCCAAUGGAGCUUGGUUGUGAAAAUGCUAACUGAGAUUUCUCCAACAUGCACCCAUUGUUGCAAAAGCUUUCCCUGCGAUUUUAUACAAACAUACAAACAAAAUGUCACCAUAAUGUAUGAAUGUUUGUUCACCACGACAAUGGUUUUAGGUUCUUUACCUCGUGGUAUCGAGUAACCAUGUGGCUAUGCCUUUUCUUCUGUUAGAAGGUGAGACCCAAAUCGCUCUAAUCCCACAAACAGCCGGUUUAGCUUCUUCCUCGCAUACUAUUGCUCCGCAGUCUAAUCUAUCAUCUGAUGCUCGACAUCUUUUAGAUACUUCUCUUUGUAACACAAUGUUUCCAAACUGAAUGGAGGUUGAAGGCGAGGAGGUGCUCUCUUUUUGUAACUGUCUUUCAUCAUCAGGAGAAGGUAUGAGCUUAAAUGCUUCCUUAAUUGGUUCUGCAACUAGACAUCCAGAGAUCCUCUGAGAGGAUAUGAAUAGAUAAACCUACACAUAACAAGGUAGUUCUUGAAAUAACUGAGGAAAGUAAUUACAGGUUAUAUCAUCUUUCUUGUGAAUUUGUUGAAUGAUGCCAUAUAAAGAAAUUAAAGAAACUCCUCUUUUCAGGGAAUCAGAUUUCUUGUUUGAUUUCAAUGCUAGUCAUAGACAUGGAAGGAAUCAGACUAAGUCGAAGUUUUCCUCUUUUAAGUUGACCAUAGUAGAGCAAGUAUUCACCAUGCUUCCCAACAAGUUGUAUCAAAUGCCAAUUGGCUCAAUAUAGUAGACAUCAACAUACUAAAAAACACUCAUGAGCUAUGGAAUAUAUCCGCAAAUGACUGUUAAGACGUGGAAACAGGCUCAUACCUUACAAUGUUGGUGAAGAAUCCAAUCCUCACCUAACUCGACUUCCAUCAUUUUCACAACCUCUUGCACCUGCAAUUACAAAAGAUCCAUCGUUUAGGUCCUCUAAACGAAGAACCGGUACCAUAAACAGGGCAAGUUGAAUUGUGAAAAGAAUGGACCUUGUUUCUAUGUGCAGGGGAAUCAUUUUCUGAAACCAUAAUGAUGCGGUUCUUGUUGAACGAAGGCGAUGUGAACGCUUUCUCGUUCUGCCAACCCUGAGACCAAUUCAAAAAAAACAACAAUCAAUCUAAUAACCUCUACAAUAAUCAAAGAAACAGCUAUCUUCUUGAGCUUAAAAUGGGAUCCUAACCUUAAAAGGGAGUCCAUACAUAUAGUCCUUGUGAAAACUUUGAUGGUUCUUCUCGUCUAAUUCAUCUCCAGGAGCAUACUUAGCUCCACAUUGUGGGCAAUGUCUGAGAAGAAAAUCAGAUUGGCCCAACUCUAAGUGGAAUUGCGUAUAAUUGCGCUUCUUUUUGAGAUUUUUAGGUACAGAGGAAGAUCCUUUCUUCAGUGGCUUCCCGAUGCAUCCUUUAAGCACUUGACUUCUGAAUACCCAAAAAUAAGUGACACACAAACAGAAACCCAAUUAAUAAUGGCUGCAAGAUUAAAUCAAAGGGAUUUGCUUUAAGAAAACCCAGAAAAUCAGGGUCGCUUAUUUUCGAUUCAUCUGAAGAAAACAAAUAAUGUAGAAAUUCUCGAAGAACCUAAAGAGAAGAAAAACCGCCAAAGAUGAUCGAUUUACCUAUCGGGAAUCGCAGAUCGACGCUGGUAGGUGUUGACGAUGGCGUUCCGAUUGUUCUCCCAGACAGCUAAACCAUCGUCUGCGUCUGUUGUUACUGAGGCAGCGAUAGAAGAAGAAGAGGGCUUGAAGAAAGAAUUGAUUUUUGCUUGCAUCGUACAGAGAGAGCUCGAAUCCUUCUUAGGUCUGUGUUUGUUUUCCCCUUUACUUCUCUGAUUUUGGCGCCUAUGGAUUGAAUUUUUUGGCGCUAAUGAAAUUUUUUUGUUUUUUGCCGAUUCCUACCUAAACUUAUGUAAACCAAAGAAACCAGAAAAUGACAUUGGAUAAUUGAUGGGCCAUUUUGUGUAAUUGCAUAACUCAAGAUCAUUCCAAUUUAGUUCCAACGCCAUAAGUGGAAAAAUACGGCAUGUGAGGCCAGGAGACAAUUCAUUCGAGUCCAGAUUGUGAAUCAGUGUUGUGUUGUGAGAACAUUACAGCUUUGAUUUGAUGACGUCGAUUGAUGUUUGGAUAUCCAACUACAUUAGACAACGUCCAAAAUAAAAAAGAGCAGCAAGUGAAGUAUAGUUUGUGUGUGUUUUUUAUAUAAUUACAUGUAUGGAUUGGUGUAUAACAACAAUGUGUGCAUCGAUAUUAAUCUACGCUUUUCUUCUCCAUCUACUCCCUGUACUAUAUUUACCUCUUUCCUCUUCAAAAAGAGCCAAAAAAAGUAAGUGAGAAGCCGAUUCAUCAUCUGUCUGAUAACACCGAGUUGCUCCAUGACAACACAAAAUCUCGGAAAACAUUCGGUAAAUCUGCAUUCAAAACACAAGGAACCAAAUUCUUCAGAAUCAUACAAAACUACUUGCUAACUGCUAGCUAAAUCAAUGGCCCAAGGUGAAAUUUUUGCCCAUCGGUGCUUUCAUGUCUUGUUAUGUUAAGAAUGCAUAUCUGUGAUAGUCUUUUCUCUCCACAAGGCUUUAUUUGGUGCAAAAGCUUUUAUUAUUUGAAUGAUAGAUGAAGACAAAAUUAAAAGAAAGAAAGCAAAAUGGGGUUUUCCCUUUCUAUUACCUCGCACGACUUCCAUGGCCAGUGUGGGAAUAUCUACUUCGUCUUCAACCAAUCUGUAUACGUCCACAAGCUGAAAGAACAAAUGUAAAGUUAGUGCUUUAGAGUGUCAAUGGGGAUGAUAAGUGCUACAGAUAUAAAUCUGGUUGACGUGAGAUGUAUGAACAAACCUCUUCUACGUGAAGCUUCGAGUCCUCUGUGAGCGCAAGAAUAAGUUUCCUGCGGAUGCCUUCGUCAAGGAGGAAAAGACGAGCUCCGUCCUUAAUGGUAUCUGUCAAGUCAAGCUUACUCUCCCUGAAAGUUUCAUGAGUAAAAUACGGAUUUAGAAUUCAAGCUUCCCAGGGUGAACGAGUGAGAGAUUUUGGGAGCAAUGCUUAUAUAGAACUCGGUUACUUACACACGCUUUACUCGUAGAUUAGGAUUGCUACUCAUUUUGGCAACGUUUUCCUUUGCAAGUGAUAAAAGGUUUUCCAGCCUUUUCCAUUGGAAAACACCAUCUUUGAAUAGAACCUGAAAUGCGGUGGCAACAAGAGCUCUGAUUUCAGCUGAUGCGGAUAACAGUUCACCAUAGCAUAUAUGAAACUAAAUCAGAAUUAUCAAUCAACCUGUAUCAAGCGUUCCCGAAGUGCAGGAUUUGGAUCCGUUAGGAGCCGUUUUGCUACAUAUGGAUAAGCAACCUAGAUAAAAAGUUAGCUUUUAGUGUGGAAAGGGAAAUAUGGGUGAACAUAUAGCUAGUGUCUGCUCACUUCAGGAUUUACAUGUCAGCUAAAUCCUAAAUUUGAAAAGAAAAAAAUCAAAAUAUUAAACGUGACUUCACCUCUAGAAAUUUAAAAUCAGGCUUCAGCGUGAAACAUAUACCCUCCUGAGUAAGCAGAGAACGAAUAACAAGAGAGAACCGCUCCGGGAUACGGAUGGGAAAGUCGUACACAAGCUUGUUAAAUUGGCCUGCAAUGAAAAACGUGACACCAUUUCUUCAUAUGUGCAAGGGGUGCUCAGUAAACAAAAGAAACUUGCUUAAGGAAAGCAAUCUAUCAAGUACCUGUAACACUACGGAAAUUGAAAUCUGCAAGUCCUUUCCCUGCAGAGUUCUGCCAUAUGGCUUCUAAAGCUGGAACGAUAGGAGAAACAUCAGUAUCCUUGGCCAAGAACCCAAGCCUAGUGAAAUCAUUUGCCAUCUCCCCAUAGUCCUCAUUAACCGCAUGGACAACAGCAUCAAUCAAAAUUUGCUUGUUUUGCUGAGAAAAAAAAAAAGAUUUACUUUGGACUAUGAAUAACAAGUCUCUAUAUACAGAUGUGAUAAUCACUAUAGGAAGGGACAUAACCUAGCUACUAAAGGUUACUAGAUACCGUGGAACCAUUAAACUCAAGUUACCUGACUCAGUACAGCAACAUUACCGAAGUCCACAUAAGCAAUACGCCCAUCUUGCAUUGCAAAGAUAUUUCCAGGAUGUGGAUCUCCAUGGAACAAUCCAAAUUCUAACAGCUGCCUUAAAGCAGCACUUACGCCAACAGUCAAGAAUCCAUUUAAAUCAAUCCCCGCAUCCUUGAUGGCCUGAGUACAUUUAGUAAGAGUCAGUAUCAGAGUGGACUUUAAUUUUGACUUUUUAGGAGGGUAUAGAGGAAAUUUAUGUUGGCCCCCUUUUUGAAAGUCAACCUGUGGGUCAGUGCACCGAAUACCAUCAAUCCACUCCAUUACCAGAACCCGAGGACCACAAAGAUUCUUGUAUACUCCAGGAAUUUUGACUGUGGGGUCAUCUUUGAAGUUCUCCAGAAAGUCUUCAAUGUUUCUGGCUUCCUGUAGGCAAGAACUUAAGGUUAACCAGGAUUAUAUAAAGACUCAUCAUUUCAGAUCAUCAACACAGAAGAACGCAUAGAGUGAAAUUGAGAAGUAUAUGAGAUACCAAGGUGUAGUCAAGCUCCUCCAGAAGCUUUUCUCCAAAUUCAUCAACUAUUAGCUCUGCGUUGCAACCCAGUUUCUGUAGACUAAAGCCAUUUAAGAAUGAGGCGAGGGUUCGGAAAAGAAAGAGAUCCCGGUAAAUUAUGGGCUCUAUUUGUGGUCUCUGCACCUGCAUAUGCAUAAAAAAAAAAUGUCAAAUCCAACCUUUAAAACAGUUUCAGUUUGAUAAGCCUGUAUGAACUCUGUAGCCACAGUAUAAGUUUCCAUUUAGAAGAACCUUGAUAGCAACAUCCUCUCCAGUGGCACGUAGAGUAGCUCGAUAAACUUGUCCCAAGCUUGCAGCUGCUAUUGUUUCUGAAGAAAUCUUGCUAAAUAUGGCCUCAAGAGGUUGGCCUAACUCUUCCUCGAUGAUAUUGAAAGCAACCUACAAAGUCCUUCACCACUUAGCUUCACACGACAAUGGCAAAUGAUAAUAAGAAAAAUAUCUUGCUCUACAAAUUCCCCAAAAAGAUAAGACAUUUUACCUCGUUGGGGAAUGGAGGAACAUCAUCUUGGAGAAUGCAGAGCUCGUUCAUGUAGUCUUCACGGAUGAUAUCAGGCCUAUUUGCCAGAACCUGCCCCCCCCAUGUAACAGAUAUUAGAGAAGAUAACUUUGAGAACCCGGUUAAUGCCAUUUUCUAACAAAUAAGAUGGAUCCACAUACUUGUCCAGCUUUGAUAAAUGAAGGCCCCAAGUUGCACAAAAGGUUCCUAAGCUGGCGAGCACGAAAGGGGACAACUUCCUCGUCCCUUCCAACCAAAAAAUCAUACAUUAAGGUAGACCAAUACAACCCAAGAGUCCAAACAAUCUCCACACCCCUUGAAACUAGAGAGACGACUGCUCCUCUUGAUUCCAGCACUUUACUCCUCACCUGAUCACCAGUAAAUUCCAAUUCAAACAAUCAACAACAACAUAGAUUCCACCUAAGACACAAGACUCAAGUAAAUGCCAAGAAGAACCAGCUCAAUAAGUGAAUCAACAAAUUGCAACAGAGCUAAAAGAAAUUGAAAUUGACUGAAACUAACGCAUAAAUCGAGCUAGAAACAGAAACAGGUUAAAGAAGCAAAUCAUACAGUCUCCGGAGAAUACUUUCGGAAUGGAACGCAAACGCCUCGCUCGAUAUCCAGCUGCUCAAGCGCGGAGUUCGAUUUCCCUACUCGAAUACCUCUCUCCACCCCGCUCAUCGCCGUUGUCAUUACCGAAGCAUCCGUCGAAUUUCGACCACCAACAUCCGUCGCCGCCGCAGUAACUGAAAAAUUAGAAGUCCGUACAGCCGAGAACGUCCUGCUCCGCCGCAACUCCACGGCGUUGAGAGAUCGCAAAAGAGCAUCUCUCCGAUCAAGAAGAGCGCGAUUUAUUCUCCGAUGACGCUGAUUUAAGGAGAAAUUAGGGUUUACUAAACUAUUGCAGUGGAUUGACUCCAUGGAUGAUGAGCUACGGAGGAUGAUGAGCUACGGAGAAGCGAACAGUGGAUACGUUUCCGUUGGACGACAAACUAUUAAUUACCGAAAAUGGAAUAAAUCGACUACCAACCACAUAAGAUAAUAAUUAUUUUUUGUUUUUAUCUUUUAUUUCCUGGAAAGUAAAAGAACCUUAUCUUCAAAAAGCCACAAUAGAUGUAAUCUGUAGCAAAUCGACCCCAAAACUUUUUGUUGUUUCUUUCUACAUCCCACUUUUUUUUUUGUUGGUUUGUAUACGAUACGUGAUAGUAUUUGGCGUCAAGCAGAGAAGAAGCUGCGAUCGAGGAAAGUCUUGUGUGGCCAAGAAAGGUGCAACGUUUUGGCAACUAAACAAUACAUGUUCGUAUGGUAAUUGACUACUUACAAUUGAAUGAAUGAUAUUAUACCAACGGAUACUAAUAUUUAACAACAAAAUUACCAUUAUUAAUUUGAUAAUUAAAACUUUUUUUUUUUUUUUUUUUUUUUUUUUAAAUAUUUUAUUAAAACCACCCUAACGGGCUUGGGCCGAAGCCUACACACAAACCAAUCCAGUUACAAAAAGGUAAAUCGGCAUCUCGCCGGAAAAAGAAGAAAAGCUCGCCCCUUGUUGAUAGACGCUCGUAGAGCAACCGGAGCCUUAAAUCUGGCAGAUUCAAGACCCACCGCUUCGUGGCCGCGUCAGAAAAUCGACUACCACCGACGGAAGAAUCUGGUUUCCGUCAGAAGAGUCUCUCCUCCGACGCACCAACCCGCCACAAGCCUCCCAGAAAGCUAGUCACUCCAACGCAGCGCAUCGACGGAGUCGGAUCCCGACCUAGCAACCCGACCCACUGGGAGGUAACCCUUUUCUCCCAAAACCGGUAACACCAAAAAACCUGAAUCUUCACGCAUCGAUCCGGACCGGUGGAGACCAGAAGCGGCGGAUCUAGAGAACGUUGGCUCGCCGUGAACCUCUAAACCCGAACCCCGCAUCAGCCCUCUAAGAUCCAAACAGAUCCACAGCUAACCACCGCGUCGGACAACGAACCCCCCUUAUCCCCUCCAACUUCCGCCGUGGACGCAGCAACUAGAUCGACGGGUGAGCCUGAGGCGCAUUGCAGCAUCUCCCGGCGUCCUCAACCGCGAGACCACCGCUGCAAAACUCCUCAUCCGUCAGAACCAGGGCCACAACCACAUCAGAGAGGAAACACCACACCGCCGUUGACGGAGAUACGCUCCGACUCACUCCUGGACCGCCUUGGAGAAGCCUCGAACCGAAGAUUGAAGAGCAGAACGGAACGAAAGAACCCUAGAUCUGGUUGCCGGAAAUCGUCUUCAAGAGAGAGAGAAAUGCACAGCUAUCGAGGCAACGAUUGGGCCGUAUCUCUUGAUAAUUAAAACUUACUCGAAUCUUUUUUUAGGUUUUAUAACAAUGA